Molecule: long non-coding RNA, 54525 nt
Filed under: Ananas comosus (pineapple)
Lineage: Eukaryota; Viridiplantae; Streptophyta; Magnoliopsida; Poales; Bromeliaceae
Description: long non-coding RNA (ACOM_LNC021787)
Source: RNAcentral
UUUUUUGCAUUUAGACCCCUAACAAAUUUUUAUUUUAAAAGUAGCCCUGUCAAAAUUUAAUUUGCAAAAAUGGCCCUGGGCCUGCCACGCAUGCGCCACGUCAGCGCCACGCGGGCAGGGCUGGGCCCAUGUGUUAAGUUGAACACGAACACGGUGAAUGGUUCACCGUAUUUAGUACGUAUUUUUUUACACAUAUAUUGAAAAGUGGAAUAAGGAGUAGGGAUGUCAAUAGGUAUGGAUAUACGAAAUAUUAUCCGAAUCCAAAUCCGAAUAAAUUAUAUAUAUACGUAAUUUAUUUUUAUUUAUUUAUACAAUAUAUAAAAUAUUUAAUAAUUUUUAUUCCUUAGAUCUUCAUCCAACCCAGCGGAUUUUAAAAAUCCAUACCGUUGGAUGAAGAUUUAAAGAAUAAAAAUUAUUAAAUAUUUUAUAUAUUGUAUAAAUAAACAAAAAUAAAUUACAUAUAUAUAUAUAAUUUAUUCGGGUUUGGAUUCGGAUAAUAUUUCGGGUAUCCAUACCUAUUGACAUCCCUACUCCUUAUUCCACUUUUCAAUAUACAAAAAAUACGUAAGAAACACGGUAAACCAUUCACCGUGUUUAGACACGGUGAAUGAUUCACCGUGUUCAACUUAAUACCCUGGCCCCAGCCCUGCCCACGUGGCGCUGACGUGGCGCCUACGUGGCAGGGACAGGGUCAUUUUUGCAAUUUUAAUUUUGAUAGGGCUAUUUUUAAAAUAAAAAUUGCUCAGGGGGCUAUUUGCAAAAAAAGCCCUUUUUUUCUUUUUCCCGAAAUUAAAAGCAAAAUCUACCGAAAAAAAUCGUUAGAUUCGAAAUUCUGAAACAUGUCGGAAAUGUGUACUAUUUCCCGAAUUACCAAAAAUAUAAGAGAAAUAUAAUCGUACAAUUUUACAUUUCGCCCCUUCUAUUUCUCCUUCAUUUCCCAAAAAGGACAAGGUCUCGAGAUGCUCCAUCGUCCCCCCCACACUUCUAAAAUCCCCCGUCCCCAACCUCCUCUCUCUCUACGCCCCUCUCCGCCCCGCAAAACCCUAACCCGAAACCUUGAUCGAUCGCGAUCCAUGGAGUUUCGGUUCCGAUCCGAAGAGGAGCGGCUCUCCUCCCUCACUGAAGUCCCUCCUCCUCCUCCUCCGUCCUCGUCGUCCCCUUCUUUCUCCUCCUUCGCCUCCUACUUCACCCGCCAAGCAAUGCGAGGUAAAAAGAUCGGACCUCCCCCCUUUCUUCGCCGUAGGAUUUGGAUUAGGGUUUGUUGAUGCUAGCGUGGUGGAUCGCAGCGGGUCUGAUCGGCUUCCGCGGCGGCCCGAUGCAGCCGAUGACGGCGAUGGAGGCGCUGGAGCGGGAGAUCCGGAAGGAGAGGAUUCGGGAGGAGAUUUUGAGGGAGGAGGCGGAGAGGAGGAUUCUCGAGGCGGAGGUGAGGAGGGAGCUGGAGAUGGAGCGGAUGUUCGGGGUGCGGCGGACGAUGCCUCCGCCGGAGGAGAGGAUGGAGCCUUUCCCGGCGCCGUUCGGUCCCGAUGCUAGGGUUAGGUUUAGGGAUGCGUUAGAGUUUCGGUCCACGGGUCGGUGCUCGGAGGAUCGGUCCGAUCCAAAAAAGCUCUGUUUGGAGGCUCCUCAGAGGACUAGGGAAGAAAAGGAGUCACCUUUGGCUACGAAGAAGCUCGAGUUGCAGAUCAUCGAGUCUCCGGAGUCGUCUGAGGUUCUUCCCUGGUCUCCUGAUCUCUCAUCUUUCUCCUCAUUCCUUGGCUCAAUUAUAGAAAACAUUCAUGCACUUUCAAUCCUAUCUCACUUACCCUGCUACUCAAAUUGCUUCAGUUUCAACCUUACAUUUUAAUCUUGUCUCAAAUCUCAAUAACAGUUUGCGAUAUGUAACCCUCGUUAUCUGUCAACUAAUCCCUGUGAAUUUUUUAGCUAUCUAAUUUUUCUUUUAACAUAUUUGAGAUGGGGAUCAAGUGCAUGCUUCAAAUUGAAGCAAUUAAAAAAGCAGUUGAGAUAAGAUGAAAGUGCAUAAUGUAUUGUUAAUGCCAUGAUUUAGUGACUUGAGUGCCUUUAAACCUAAGAUUCAUAUCGUGGUUCGCGCAUGAUGGAGCAUAAUGAUAUGAUGGUCUUAAAGUUUGCUCCGUGCCAGAAUCUGUUUGAGUUCUUUUUGUUGCACAUGCAUGUAAGUCUCUUCACUCUGCUGGUUUUUUUUUUUAAAAAAAAAAGAUUCCCUAGCUUCAGUGUGCUGAGUGGUGCAAGAAUUAUUGCAGAAGUUCCCUAGAAAACUCUUAUUGGCGGCAGGUUCUUACAUGCAGAAAAAUGGAGAGUUAUGUCAAGUAUAUUUUUUUAGUAGCCACUUCUGUUAUGGAAUGGUUUUUGUAAAAUUGUGCGCCAUUAUGUUCCCAAUUCUUCAAAGGUGGUUCUAUUUUACUUAUCUCCAUUGGAUGUUUAAUUUCUUUAAUUUUAGAGGAACACUAUUGACAUAAAUUGAUAAGAAAGUCAUUAUCUAUUUGUUUGCUUCAAGCUACUUAUCUGUCCCUUCUUCAGCGCUCUCUUUGUUCUUCUUUAUGCCUUAAGUGUGAAUUGCUCUUGCAAUUAGGGCAAAAGGGGAAGUAGCAAAGAGGGCGAUGAAAGGUAGAAAGAUAAAUAGAUUAAAACUAACGAAUAUUUGAUGACUUUUUGUAUUGGUUUAUUUUGACGGUGUUCUUCUGAUCUUUUUUGGGACCUUAAGCUUGAGAUGUUAGCUCAGAUGAAGCUAAUUUCUUGGAAUUGCCUUUCAAGAAUUGUCGACAUGCUGGAAGUUCUGUUUUGCAAAUGUGUAAAAGAAGGGGUUGUUGGCAAAAGGCCAAAAACUAUGAGACAUAUCGCCUCUGUUUCGUCUUCAUGACAAAGUUUAGAUAAUGUUUUCUUGGGAACUUUCUUUAAUAAUGUUAUGCCAUUUGAGUGUAAGGGUAAUUUUGAGUGUAAGGGUAAUUUGUGCUCCCCCCUAAAGAAACAUGGGUUUAAACAUGCUGUCUAUUCUUCACAUAUACCGAUAACUUAACAAAAUGUAUCUGCAUGCGAAAUAUAGCCUAAAGGUUCUGAAGGACUUCCUAAAAGUUUUUAUUUUUUUGAUUUUUUUAUCCCUGAGACUUGGGAAUGUUGGGUUAGGGGUGAGUUGGUAUCUUAUUCAAUACCCCUCAGUAUACACUAUGCAGACCUGAACAAAAUAGUUUGCUGUUUGGAUUCCUUGAGACCAAUUGAUGCUGUUUGAAUAUCACAGAUGCAAUAAAGAACCAAAGAAAUAGAACUUCACAUUAAAUAUGAAUUGCCAAAGGGAAUUAAAGCAAUUAAAAGAGGGAAAACUUUCGAGAUCUGAACCAAACUAAAGCAAAUUGGAGCCUUUAGUAAUCAUCAUGAAUCACUGAAAAGAAAAUUCUUACGUUCCACAAUUAGAAGCUAUUGAAACAUAUCUAACAAUAGUACCAAUUAUCAAUUCUGGAAUUUCUGGACGGCACAAAUUACUUGGACUUCUAUUUACUCCCGCUAGCAGUUUGAAGAAGAAAAGGUGGCCCUGCAGCAACUGAGAUAAGGCGAAGAAGCGCAGAGCAGUAGCAGGCACAUAAGAGAGAAAUUUAGGUGCCAUCCUUGAUUUUCGUAUUUGCAUCCUUGUUUUUAGUUCAAUUGCAGGAAUAAUGAAUUUAUUGCUUACACUGCUGAAAUUUGGAGUUACGGUGGGCCGCAGAAGAAUUUCACCUAGAUCACCCUGGCAGCAGUUGUUCCCUGCAACUGCAUCUUUUGUCCGAAUCCAAUGUUUGAGAAGCUUUAAUGUUAAGCUGAAAUGCUAUUGAAGGCACCACGGCCGGUGGAAGAAUUCCACCUAGGUAUGUGCAGGAAAUAUCUUGCACCAAACGAUGUGACAGCCGAUGGAUAAAGAAAGGGGAAAAAAGAUAAAGAAAUAGCAGCUAGUAGUGAGAUCCAACCAUCGUUUAUAUGCUAUAGCACAUGCUGCACAUCUUCAGCAAGCAUUCUCUCUUUAUGCCUAUUUACGGAUUAAAUGAUUUGCACAGAGAGAUUGAAAUUGCGAAGGAGCAAUAUUCAUGAGGAUUAUGCUCGACCAGAUGAUAGGAAGUGGCUUGCCCCAGAUGAGAACCAAACAUUCUCAAAUUUAUAAUUUCAUGUGAGCUGGAGGAUCAUAAGCCUCUAAGUUGACAUGAAGCAGGUUGUGUAGCUUAUUUCUGCCUCCAAGGUAAAAGGUGUGUAGCUCCGUAGUAGAAGCAAGAGUAGAAGCUCCAAAUUUGAUCAUUUGAGUUUGGGGCUUAAAAGCUUAUUUCGGUUUCCCAUCAUGGCAGAAGCACCAGAUGUUAUGUUUGCUAAUGCCUGGAAGUUGCUUUUUUGAGUAGAGAAGCUUCUCUAGAGGCCUAGUCAAAUAGGCCCUAAGGGCUUAUUUCUCUGAGCUUUUAAAAGAGCUUCUUAAUUUGAGAGGUGCAAUUAUGCCGACAUAAAUCUUGGAGCUUCUGGUCAUAGUGCGGGAGCCGAAGUGGGAUUUUGACCCAAAAGCAAGAGCUCUAAUUUGAUGGUUCUUCUUGUAGCUUUUACUUGGAAAGUUCUUUGGGAGACUUUGAUAGACCACGGUUAAGGCUGCAUGAAAAGCCAACUACAUAGAAGCUAUGACGUACCCAAACGGGCCCUUGAUAAGUAUUCAAAAUGGCACCCCUUUUGCUUAACUUCUUGGACAAGACUUGAGAAAGAGCUGGAUGGCCAAAAUGUUUAGUGUUUUUAGUUUGACGUUCUUGCCGACAUUGUCUAGCUUAGACUUGACUAGAGUCAAACCGAAUUUGAUUUUGAUGCACCUAAGUUGAAUUGCAUGCAGUUUAAUUUCAAUUAUGUGCCAUUUUGUGCUAAAUAUUGUGGGCUUGGGAUUGGCCCAAGUUUCAUUGCACGUUGUAAAAUGAUGAUUUCAUUUGAUUUUUGUUUUCGCUUAUUGCUAAUACAACACGUGAUCCGUGAAGAGAAACAACUGCCCUUGCAUCAAUCUCUCGCAGGUCCCACCGCAAAAUAGCAAGCUUUCAGGAACCAAAAGGAAAGCAGAACUAGAUUCUGAAGUGAGCAAAAAGCUCCAGAAGCAGCCGAUCAAGAAAGAUUGGAGCUGUGCUAUCUGCGAGGUUUGUGUGACCAGUGAGAGCGCUUUGAAUGAGCACCUCCAAGGGAAGAAGCACAAGGCAAAGCUCGUGCUCUCUGGUGCUGUGAAGAAGUUCAACAACAAUGACAAGAGCAUCUUGAAAAAACCGAAAGCAGAAGUAUUGGCCAAGGCCGAAGGCUCCUCAGCUGCCGAAGGAGAGAAGAAGAUAAGUAUGCAGGUCGACGGGAAGAUGUACACAGUUCUACAGAAGAAGGAUUGUCUAUGGUGCGAGAAAUGCAAAGUGAAGUGCCUUAGUUCCAUUAAUAUGGCCGUUCACCUUGGAGGGAAGAAGCAUAACUCGUCGACCGAGAAUUUAAAUAAAGCCCAAGCUCGAAAGCUGGCGAGAGCUGCCACAAAAGUUAAAUCUAAAGAGAAUGCUGAAAAACCAAUAAAAGAGGAUGCAAAGGAAAAUGGUGCGGAGGAGGAUAAAGAAACUGCAGAAGAGGGAGGAGAACAAGCAAAGUGAGGGUAAAUUAUUGCCUGAAUCUGGUCCACCACGUCAACCGUAGGUCGCCUAGUGCUCCGCCGUCUUACUCAAUUUCACUUUCAUUACCUACCAUUCUUGAAGGAAAAAAAUCUUCGAAUCUGGAAAAUGUUCUGGAGUAGGACGUAAGGCAGAUUCACCGGAGGUCCAUGGCUGACGUGGUGAACCGGGUUCGGCAAAUAAUUUCUCCUGAAUGAGGUUUUAUCUGGAGUUUAGGAUGAAUACAUGGCUCUCCUCCUAAUUGAAGGCAUUAACAAUUGUAAUGUUGUUGUAGUAGUAGUAGCAGUAGGGGGAAGUGGUGCUAGCUAGAGGAGUGAAUAUGAACAAAGUAUUCAGAGGGGAGAGCAUUAGCGGCAUUUGGUUUCAUUGAAUAGGUUGGCUGCUAGCAACGGGUGAUCCGCAUGAUGAAUGACCUGCACUUUAUUGUAAUUUUCGGUCCUUGUGUUGGUUAAUGUUGGUUGAUCUUUCUAUGAAUGAGUAUUCCUGAGGCGAGGACACUAGUAGCAUUCGAUUUCAUCAAAUAGGUUAGGUGUUAGUAAUGGGUGAUCUGUAUGAUGAAUGACUUGUACCUUUUUCUCGUAAUCUUCGGUCCUUGUGUUGGUUAAUGUUGGUUGAUCUUCUUGUGCCCUUUUUCUGUGUUACUUUUCCUCAUUCCAUGCUUCUGCAUAGGCUGUUAUAUUCAUUCUCUAAGUUAGGUUGAUGUAUGAUGGUAAGAAUAUGGUGUGUAGCAUUGUUUUUUUUCCCUUUUUUUUUUUUUUUGAAAUCUAAUGUCUGAUAUCAUCUAAUUGUUAAUUUUGAUAUAUAUUUUGAUAUUUUCUUAGUUAGGUGGCUUUGAUGUCUACAUAUGUUCCACUCUAUAUAAGAUUAUGGCUACUGGGUGUAGCAAAUAAGUCUCCUAGAAAAACAAAAUGUUACAUAAUAAAGAGUGCAUAUAUACAUAUAUUUUUGAUCAUUUCUUUUUACUGGAAAUUGUUUGAUUAGUUUUGUGUCAGAUAUUGCAGUGUCAAGUUCAUUGCAUUAAGUCAUUGCAAUGGAGAUACAUAAAAGCAUUUAUCAAUGUAAUUUUGAUAAAGCUCAUCUUUUUAGGGUUGUUGUGAUGUAAUCAUUCUAAAUAAAUGCAGGAUAUGAAGUCACAAGUAGGGGUGGAAUCGAGCCGAGCUCGAGCGAGCUUACAUCGCUCAAAUUCGGCUUGAAAUUAAUUUCGAGCCUAAAUUUAAGCUCAAACUUGGAUUGAAAUUAAUUCGAGCCGAGCUCGAGCGAGCCUAAUUUAAGUCGAGCGAGCUCGAGCGCCUAAACGAGCCGCUUGAAAUUCUCAACAUUAUACGAUCAAUAGUUUAAUUUGUAUAGAACAUUAUCUAUAAUUUGAUACAAAAAUAUGUCUAAUAGUUCAAAGUACAAAUAAUUAUAUGAAAUAUAGUAUUAUAAUAUGAAAAAAAAUAAUUUAUAGUUGAAUAUCUAAUUUUUUCAGUCACACAUGUUUUUUCUUCGGCCUUCAUUCUCCAAUAUUAUUCAUUUUCAUUUAUGCAGUCAAAAAUAAAUAAAUUAUAUAGAUAAAUAUUGAUUAAACUAUCCAUCAUAUAUAACUAAAAUUAAAAUUUUAUAUGAAUAAUAAUUUUUUACUUAAAUAUUCUGUAUAUUUUCUCAAGCAUACAAUUAAUAGCAAGGUAGGCAACGGCGGGCAAUAUGAUGUUACUUGGUAACUUAUAGGGCUUCCUGGCUUGGCCAUUAGGGUGAGAACGAAAAAAAAGAAAGAGAAAACAUAUUGAAUUUAGAGCUUGUGAAAGAAAGAAAGAAAGAAAGAAAGAAAAUAAUAUAAUUUAGUAAAAAUUUUGCUCUUAUUAUUUGUCUAUUGGUUUGUUUUCAUGGGCCAACAACAUUGGCCGAUUUUAACUAAACUCGAUUAUUCACUCAGCCUAUAUAUAAUUAAAAUAUAUUAUAUUUAUAUUUUUUAUAUAUAUAUAUAUAUGAAGAGAGAGAGUAGAACUACUAUGCUAUCGAAAAUAUAGAGGAUUUAAUGUUUUUGAAUUUUUGACUCUUUGAUUAAAAAUUGUAUGGUUGGGAUGAUUGCGGUCUCCCCUAGGAUUAAAUAAUACUCUUAGGAUUAAGUGGUCCCUACAAGGUAAUAAUAAUAUUAAUCGAAAGAUAAGAAACGAUUAAAGGGAUUGAUCUAAGAAUCAAAAAAUCGAAAGCACCAUAUCUCUAUACUUUCGAAAGCAUAGUAGCUCUACUAUAUAUAUAUAUAUAUAUAUAUAUAUAUAUAUAUAUAUAUAUAUAUAUAUAUUCACAAGAGGCUAAAUUCAUACUCCACCCAAACUUUAAUGACUACAUUAAUGGCUUAAUCAAUGGAUUAUAUUCAACUUGUCAUCUCCUUGGGCUCCUACUUGUGAAUUAUUAUCUUUAUUUAAUAUCACCACCAAUAAUUUGUACAUGUGUACGAAUAACAGCAUCCUCAUUGUGAAAAGUGGAAAGUGAUUUAGUACACAAUUGUCAAUUGGGACACAAUUGUCGAUUGGUAAUUUAGUAUUGAGAGUUAUUUAACAUUUUUUACGGAUCUAGACUAAAAAUAUAUUUUUAUAAUAUACAGCACACUAUAAUUUAUUAAAAUAAAUAAAAUAAUUUUUAUCGUAUAUAUUAUACAAAUAAAGCCAAAGGAUAUAUUUUAGCAAUCAAUAUUAUUACAAUGCAAAGUUGCUACACCAAGACCACUAGUGUAGUAGCUCGCGCGUUACGGUAGAUAGAUACUGUUAAAAUAAAGUUUUAUAAAGAAUAAAAUAUCAAUGUAGUAAAAAAAUAAUAAAUAUAGUCUAUAUUAUAGAUAAACAUUUUUAAAAACUAAAACUAUAAUAAAAAAAUGUAAUCGUCUCAACAAAAUUAUUAAAUCUUAUUUAAGAGAAGUCACAUAUCAUAUAAAUAAACGAUUAAAAUUAUUUCUAUAACACAGUAAUCAAAUAAGAAAAAAAAUUAGAAAAUAAUAGGCUUCACUCUUUCUCAAAUUAAAGGGAUAAGUACAUGUACGAUGUAAUCAUGAGGAUUAAUAUAUAAUAAAAUAUAGGUAUAGAUAUUGGUUGUUAGCUUUCGCUUUGUCGUUUCCGUUGAAAUAUCUCAAACAAAAAGACAUUCCUUCGUGUACCUCUCAUUCACAAUCUAUCAUAUUUGAAAAUUUUAAACUAGAAUUUUGGGGGUACAUGAGAUUUUUUUUUUUUGAGAUAUUAUUGAGAUAUUAUUGAUCACUAAGAUAUUAGAUUGAAAUAAUUCCAAAAAACUUAACUUAGUAUUACUAUUAUUAUUAUUAAUUGGUUUUCAAAAUGUCUCAUUUAUUUUAUCAUAACAUAACAUAACAAUUAAAGGAGAUCCUAUCCUGUUAAACAAACCAAUUUUGUAUAUAUUUUUCCGUGAUUAAAUUGGCUUCUUUGAAAGCUACAUAUUAACUGACUCAUGGUUAUCUUAUUCUUCUUCUCAAGUAUAUCGAUUUAUUUAAAUAUUUUUUUAAAACAAAAUUUGACUUUUCUAAAGCUUUUCUACAUUCAAAAAGCAAAUAUUUUUUUGACAAACAAAGAGAUCGAAACUUCGACUGUCCUAAAAAUUUAAAGUACAAAUUUGGUUUAGAAAUUUAUUUUUGCAUUGAUUUAAGUAGCGCUUUUUUUAGUAGUUUCACUUGUACACUACUACACAAAAAAAAGUAUUAACAAGAUCAAAUAAGUUGUGCCUUUACAAUGCACGAAAUUAGCAGGAAAAAAAAAUCUUAAAAAAAUAGAAGAAUAAUAUUUAGAUAAUAAAGUGAAUUUUGUGAGGUCGAAAUCAAUUCUUUUCUCUUUUUUUUCGUGCAUUAUUUUAUUUUUUGUUGAGCCAAUUUUUGUUUGAAAAAGCUGAAACUAACUUUUGAACGCUACAGGAAGUACAUAGCAUUUUAAAAAUAUAUAAAAAAUUAUUCUAAUAAAAUAAAUGAUAAACUUGAAAUAUAAUUUAUGCGGUUUUGUGCUUUCUCACGUUAGUACCAAAUAUUUUAAAAUGUAUUACUUUCGUAUUCUGUAUUUUUAUUUUUCUUUUUUCGUUCAGCAUUUUCGUUAACUCUUCGUUAAUUUAUAUAUAAAAAAAAAUCUUAGAUAUUCCACCUAUGAUUUAUCAAAUAUUCACUUUAAUAUCUUAUAAUUUUAAUUUUAUCAAUAAAAAAUUAAUAAAAAAUAAAAUUAUAUAAUAUGAAAAUAAUACAUUAUAAAUCACGAAAUAUUAAAUAAAAAAAAACCUAUAAGAUGAUGUUUGAAUUUUUUUCUAAAAUUAAAUAGGAAUUAAUAAAAAACAGGAUAACGAAAAGACUAGCGAGACACGUGUAAAUCACUGUGAGCCUUCGAUCACACGUGUGGGAUCCACCUAUCAAUCAAAAAUUUCGGAUAUAUAUGUCCAUCGAAAAAAGUGAUAAAGUAACUACUCACAAAAUGACGUGGAAUUUUGCACAAAGAUAAAUUAUUUAAAAUAAAAUUCUCGAAGUUGUAAUUUAAUAUUAAAUAAUAAUUGAUAAAUUUAAAAAAUAUCUGUUUGAAAUAAGCAUAAAAUACAAAAAGAUACCCAUCAAAAUCCAAAAUUUUUUUGAUCGCAUUCGUGAUACGUGUACCAAAACAGUACCAUCAAUCACUUUUAUGGGUCCCACCUAAUCAUACAUCUCGCAAUAAAAAAAAUUGUAUUUAUUUAAUAUAUUAUAAUACUACGCAAUAUGACGUGGAAUAAACGAACCACAAAAUUAAAUUAGACAAAUUGUCAAAAUAGUUUGGAAUUAAAGAGUAUUAUUUAAUUAUUUAAUUAUUUAAUUAUUUAAAGAGCUAUGCUCGAAUACUUUGUCAGGUAGAGAACUUGAAUCUUCUUAAAGACAGCGAGAUUUUCAUACCUCAACUUGAUCGAUUCGUUAAUAUUUUUUAUAUUAUUUUUUUUACUUUUUAUAGUAGAGAUUAUAUAUAAUAGAAAAUAUUAUUUAAAUAUUUUAAGAUAACUUAGUAAAAAAUAAUUUUGCUCAACACCGUGUUACGGCAAAUUAUUAUUAUGAUUAAUGAUUAAAAAAAUGGGAUCUAUAAUAAGAAUUUAGCAUAGAAAUUUCUUCUUUUUUUUUUAAUUUUUAGAACUUAAAUAGAAUUUACUAAUAAAAGAGAGAGAGAGAGAGGAGAGAAUGGAUAAGGGGUGAGCCCCUGGUCCUCGCACGUGCCACGUAAGCAUAGCGGAUCCUUUUUCUAAUUUUUAAGAUCCGACCCGAUAACACCAAACCACCUCUCUCUCUAUAUAUACCGAUUCUUAUCCGUAUUCCUAUUCUCAUUCUCUAUCCCCUGUUCUCAAUCCUCUCGAAGCAUAUUCUCGCUCUUCUCUCUCUCUCUCUCUCUCUCUCUCUCUCUCUCUCUCUCUCACUUCUUCUAGGGUUUCUCCCUGUAUUGUGGAAAGGAUCUCUAAUUUGUGCGGUGGAAGCGAUCAUGACGAUCUCGAUGGUGGGGAUGGUGUCGCCGGCGAGCGGGUUGGCGGGGAGGUGGCGGAGGAAGAGGGCGGAGAGGGGUGGAGGUGUGAGGUGCUCCGCCGCCGCCACGGGGGGUCUAACGGAGCAGUAUAGGACGCUCAGGAUAAGGCCCGGGGCGACGGAGAGCGAGGUGAAGAGGGCCUUUCGGCAACUCGCGCUUCAGGUUUCGUGCUCUCUCUCUUUCUUUCUCACGGGGGAAUUCGAUCAUUUUUUGUUGUGAUGCUCUUGGAGGGGCUGCAUAUAGGGAUUUGGGUGGGAAAUUGGGGUUUUCAAUUGAUUUUGGGGGGGGAAAAAGGGAUUUUUUUAAUUUUUUGUUGAAUUAGGAGAUUAUUUGUAGGCAACGUAAAAAUUGAUGUAGAUUUUGUCGAAUGAAUUUAAAUUUUGGGCAAUUACUUUUAUUAUAAUAAUAUGGGUGGGAAUUUUUUUUUAUUUUUUUUUCCUUUGGGAGGGGGUAGUGGGGACUUAAAUAGCGCAAUUUGUUUGGAAAAUUUUGGAAUUUGGUUUGGUGAAUAAUAGAGGUGAAACAAAAUUUGGUGUUUUGGAUAUGGGUUUCUGUUUUUUUUUUUUUGGGUCCUAAUGCUUCCUCCUAAUUUUUUUGGGUACCUGUCGAUUCAUGGAUCAAUUUUUUUUUUUUAUUUCUGUUUAAAAUUUUAAAAAAUUAAAAAAUAAAUCUGUUGAGUUCUUAUUGGCUCUAUUUAUUCUUUGCAGUAUCACCCAGACGUUUGCAAAGGGAGUAAUUGUGGUGUUCAAUUCCAUCAGAUUNGAUGAACAUCAAAUUGUAUCGUUAACUGCAAAAAAAUUUAUAAGUUGCACUAUUUAAGAUGUAAACUGCAGCUUUAAGAUGAAAACUAUACUCUUUAAACGAAAAUUACACUCUUUCAGAAAUAUUUACACUGUUUCUCUUCUUUUUACACUCUUUCAGAUGUAAACUGCAUCCAUUAAAAUGAAAGUUACACUCUUUAAAAAAAAGAUGCACUGUUUCUCCUCUUGUUGCACUAUUUUUUAUCUUAAAUUGUACCCUUUUAAGAGAUAUUUAUACUGUUUCUUCUCUUGUUGCACCAUUUCUGUGUAAAUAAGAGGAGAAAUAGAGCAACAAGAGGAGAAACAGUGCAAGAAGAGAAGAAACUGUACUGUUUUAAAAGAUAUAUAUACUGUUUCUCCUCUUGUUGCACCAUUUCUGUGUAAACNUCUCUCUCUCUCUCUCUCUCUCUCUCUCUUCUUCUAGGGUUUCUCCCUGUAUUGUGGAAAGGAUCUCUAAUUUGUGCGGUGGAAGCGAUCAUGACGAUCUCGAUGGUGGGGAUGGUGUCGCCGGCGAGCGGGUUGGCGGGGAGGUGGCGGAGGAAGAGGGCGGAGAGGGGUGGAGGUGUGAGGUGCUCCGCCGCCGCCACGGGGGGUCUAACGGAGCAGUAUAGGACGCUCAGGAUAAGGCCCGGGGCGACGGAGAGCGAGGUGAAGAGGGCCUUUCGGCAACUCGCGCUUCAGGUUUCGUGCUCUCUCUCUUUCUUUCUCACGGGGGAAUUCGAUCAAUUUUUGUUGUGAUGCUCUUGGAGGGGCUGCAUAUAGGGAUUUGGGUGGGAAAUUGGGGUUUUCAAUUGAUUUUGGGGGGGAAAAAAGGGAUUUUUUAAACUUUUUGUUGAAUUAGGAGAUUAUUUGUAGGCAACAUAGAUAAAUUGGUGUAGAUUUUGUCGAAUGAGUUUAAAUUUUGGUCAAUUUUUUUUUAUUAAAAUAAUAUGGGUGGGAAAAAAGUUUUUUUUUUUUUCCUUUGGGUGGGGGUAGUGGGGACAUAAAUAGCGCUAUUUGUUCGGAAAAUUUCGGAAUUUGGGUUGGUGAAUAAUAUUUUCUUCAGAGGUGAAAAAAAAAAGUGGUGUUUUGGAUUUGGGUUUCUGUUUUUUUUUUUUUUUGGUCCUAAUGCUUCCUCCUAAUUUUUUUGGGUACCUGUCGAUUCAUGGAUCAAUUUUUUUUUUUUAUUUCUGUUUAAAAUUUUAAAAAAUUAAAAAAUAAAUCUGUUGAGUUCUUAUUGGCUCUAUUUAUUCUUUGCAGUAUCACCCAGACGUUUGCAAAGGGAGUAAUUGUGGUGUUCAAUUCCAUCAGAUUAAUGCGGCUUAUGAUGUAAGUGUUCCCCACAUGCCAUUUUUUUCUCUCCUCUUUUUUUCCUUGUUGAUUUUACUUGUAUUUGUUUAUCUAUCUAUUUACGUAGUUAUUUAUUUAUGAUGUUAGUGUUUUUAACCAAUAAAAAUUAAUCCUUCCAAAUUCAAACUUUUUUCUAUGAAUUUUGAAUAGAAUUUUUUUCCGACGUGUAUAAAAUAGUUUCUCAUAAUGAUUCAGAUUUCCAUAAUGCUUAUGUUUAAUUAUUAAUAUUAAAAUUUGUGAUCUUUGUAUUUUUAAUUAUGAUUUUUAUUUUCAUUCAAUAUGGAAUUACUNUGAUCUUUUGGUUUUUAAUUAUGAUUUUCAUUUUCAUUCAAUAUGGAAUUAUUUGGACAUCAGAGUUUUUUUCAUAGAAAUUCUUCAGUGCGCGCCAAUAAGAUGGUUCUUAAUACUGUUUACAGUUUUAUCUUUUUGAUACCAAAUUAGAAAAUUAAUAGCAAAACCAGAAUUAAUGGCCUCAUUGGUCUGUGUAGAUUAUUAUGGACAACUUAAGGCAAGCCGAGGAGGCGCCGGAAAAUUCGUGGGCCUCGCCGGAGUGGAGCGAGGACGGCUACGGCGACGAGCCGAUGCGGGGGAUGUGUGACUCAAGCUGGGACAUGUGGGAGGAGUGGAUGGGGUGGGAGGGUGCAGGAAUUAGAGACUAUUCUUCUCACAUCAACCCCUACAUUUGAGCUUGAUUAGCUCUUUCAAAUUUGAGCUUGAUUCGCUCUUUCAAAUAACACAAAGCCCUUGUUAAAUCUCAGGGGUUUCUCUUUAAUAAGAACCAAUGUAAAUAGUCUCUCUACAUAUUGGGCAUCAGAUAGAUGCUUAUGUAUAUAUACAUAACAUGUUCAAAUAACGUUUUAUGGUCUUUCCUCUUUUUGUUGGGAAAGUAUUUAUUAGUAUGAGAGUAAUUGUUCUUCACAAUUGUGAAGCAUUGUGUGUGUAAAUUGCAAUCCUUAUUAGCAGUUUAGUUUCCCUAGAUUCUAAUUGGCUUUUCUCUCAAUGUUACAAUGUCAUUUGCCCAGUGAAUACGUAAUUUUGAGGGGGCUUUUCUCUCAAUGUAACAUACCAGAUUGGAUAGUGAAUAAACUAUUAUCUUUUUUUAUUACUGUUCCAAAAUGUGAGUGCAGAUCUUGUGUUUUAAACCAUGUUAACUUGACAUGUCUAUGGACUCGAAUUGCUUAUCUGAUACCAUCUGUAUUUGUUUCUAACUAGUAUGAGUAUAGUAAAAUGUGAGUUUUUUCCCUCUAGAUCUUCAAGUGGGAGUCCCAGUAAAUGAUCACCUUGUUUAGGAUAAUACAAAUCUAUAAACAUACAUACUAUCCUCAGGUGAUACUUUCACAUGACUUUAAAACACCAUUCUUGCUCCGAACAUCAAUGGUUAAAAAAAAGAGAAAAAUCAUCAGUAAGUCACAAAUAACCACAUCAAAACUCCACAAAUUACAAGCAGAUAGAUAUAACAUGGUUAUUAGGUUUUUGACAACAAAAAAUAUUUGAUCUAAUAUGAAGAGCACUACAAUGUAAUCCUUUCAACAACUUGCUUUUUCAAGCAUGAGUGAAAAAGCUCCAAACUCUGCUUUUGGAGUUAGAAUCUCAUUUCGGCUCUCUACUCCACCAAAAGCUCUACUAGAGAUGAGCAAAUGCAGAAAGGUUUCUUAAAUUACUACGAAAAUCCACCAUUUUUAUCCUCUCAUCUAUUACAAUGAUUAAGCAUUCCAAUCCCAAAUUGAUACAAGAGAGUUUUUCACUCCCACAAGUUCUUUUCCUUUGUUUGAAGGCCCACUAACACCAAAAGAAAUAAAAAAAACUUAUGCAUAAGAACAUGUCUAUUCCUUGAUAAUCCCACUGUACAAAUCAAGGAUUUGAAGCUAAAUGCUGAAAUCCGAUGAAGAACUCGCAGUUCAUUGCUAAUGCGAGUGAAAGCUACACUCUUAAGGCUACUUGGCCAUGCCAUGUAAUCUUCCUCUUGCCGAACCGGCUCGCUCCAUUCCCAUUAUCGCGAAAUGUCGGCAAAUUCAGAUCACUGGCCAAAGCCUUUCCCUCCAUCUUAUCCUUCUUCAUGCUAUCGAACUUCACAGGCUCCCAUUUGACCGCAAACUCCUCCAUUUCCUCAUCAUUCUGCUAAGCCAGAAGAACCCUUCAUGUCAGCUAUCCGGCAAACGGUGUGCAUGUAACUCUCUAGAAUAAAAUUGUACCGAGGAUCCUUAACCUUUCAGUAGUUCUCUAAUCUCGGCAUUACAUUACAAUGCCACCCAUUAAAAUCGUACAUCAAUAGGACGGAAAGUAUCCGCCUGAUCAUAAUCCAAUUGUCAUAAAGCAGACAUUUGGACUUCCCAUACGGUUAUUACGGGGAAUUUCUCUUCCAAUUCGACACCAAGAAAUUUAAUGAAACAGAUAACAUUGAAAUGGACCGUAACCCAAUUGUAGCAAUUGAACGAUUAAGACCAAAACAUAUGAAUGUAAUAUUCUACUAAAGUUUCCGAGACAUUACCGGUAAGGAAACCUGGUUCAAGUCUAUCACUCCAAAAGUGCUUGGCAUAGAAGCUUCUUUGUCGAUAGAAGAUCUCUCUUUAGUAGGAGUUGCAUUCUGAAUGGCUCGACGUGAUGAGGACGGCACUUUCUGCAAUUGCUUCUUCAGUCGAUAGGAGGUUUUCUGAGAGGGGUUCUCAGUUAAGGACUUGAAUUUUCUCCUCAAGAACCUGGGCCAUUCAAAAAAUGCACACAUAUGAGUUAUUUACCGCAGUUUUGAUUAUUGAAAGCAAGUUAAAUCGUCAAUAACAUGCUUAGCAAUUUGAAGCAUGCAAAUUACUGCAACCUCUUCUGAUUUUGGGUUUCCGCUUUGAUUAGGGGUCUAGUUUUCCAAUUUAUUAAGCCUAGGACUCCACAAGGAACAUGAAUUACAAAGAAGAAUCCUUUUGUCCUAAAAUGCACCAUGAAUUUGACAAAACAAAAAUCGUUAUUUAGGAGGUGACAUGCUUGAGGCGGUAAUUAGGACGCGACCUAGCCGUACUUAGAUUAUGUUUGGAAUUACGAAAAAAAAUUGUGUUACAUACGGUGAGAAAGUAUGAUGAAAAAAUAUUUAAUUUGUUUUCAUAUGUAAUAUCAUAUUCUGCAAUUCACAAUUGAGAAAAUGCAGAAGCAUAGCAUAUUCCCAUAUGCUUCCGCCUCAAAUCCGUUUUGCUCGACAGCGUAAAUGAUCAAAAGAUGAAAUUGGUACUAACUUGACUUCAUUGAGAAGCUUGAGUUUCUUCUGCUUUUUCUCUAGCACCUGCUUCCUCUUUGCUUCAGUUUCCUGAGAAAGGGAGAAUUAGAGCUUAACAUCUGUUAGCAAAAUUGUUGGAAAACAAAAGGAGACUAAUAAAAGCGGCAUAUGCUGAAAAUUAAAGGGCAUCUAGAGAUGAAACCAAAACAUUCUUAAUAAAUUGAAGAAAAAUUUUCAGAAAAAGGAACAUAAUACACAGACAAACUCUUUUAAACUGAAAUUUAGAAAUAAGUUAUGUAAAUAAGGGGGGGUGGGGGAAGAAAAUUCUUUUAUAAAUUUCAGAAAAUAAUUAACUUUAGAGGAACCAAAAAGGGAUUUCCUUUUAAGAGAUAACAUAGUGAAUUACAAGAAAAUUCACAAAAAAAAUCUGCCAAAAAAGGGAGGAUUACUGAAAACCCUAGAUCUGUAAGUAGAACAUUAGAUUUCAACAAAAUAAAGCAAGAAGCAAGGAAAAAAAAUCCCCCAAAACCAAGAUGCAAGAGAGACCCACUGUAAACAACUUUUACAGCAACCAAAUAAAAAGGAAAAAAAAAAAGGAGGGGCAAAAACCCCCCCAAAGAUCAGAAGAUCCAACAAAAAUCAGAUUCCUGCAAGAGGCUCUGGUGCUUGAACCUGGCCCUGGCCUCCUCCCCACCUGGGAACGAAGCGGAGGAUGGAGCGGACUCCAUGGCAACCCACCUCACCCUCUUCAUCUCCACCCUCAAAUCUCAAGAGAAACAAGGAGAGAGAGAGGGAGAGACAAAAAAAAGAUGAAGAGACCAAGAGAGAGAGAGAGAGAGAGNGGUAAAAACAGUACCCAAGAUCUCACCUUUAGCAACUCCACAUAAUCCUGCAAGAGGCUCUGGUGCUUGAACCUGGCCCUGGCCUCCUCCCCACCUGGGAACGAAGCGGAGGAUGGAGCGGACUCCAUGGCAACCCACCUCACCCUCUUCAUCUCCACCCUCAAAUCUCAAGAGAAACAAGGAGAGAGAGAGGGAGAGACAAAAAAAAGAUGAAGAGACCAAGAGAGAGAGAGAGAGAGAGGGAGAGAGGGGGGCAAUAAAAAGGCCACCUUGUGAAGGGGGUGGUGAGAUAAUGGAGGAAAUAAAGGUGGGGGUGGGGGGGGGAGGUGAGGAGUUCCCUUGCCCACCACCCCCCCCCCUUCUCUCUCUCUCUCUCUCUCUCUCUCUCUCUCUGACCCUGACCCAAGAAAAACCCAAAAAGCCCCAUAUUAAUCAGGUACAGGAAACUGGGUAGUAGUAGUAGGAGUAGGAGUAGUAGUCCUGGGUUAGAGAGAGAGAGAGAGAGAGAGAGAGAGUGAGUGUUUGUUGUGUGUGUCUCUGUUUCUCUCCUCCUAGGUGAAGAGGAGAGGGGGUGAAGAGUUUUCUGGGUCUCCAGGGGGGCAUUUCUGGGAACUUGCGCAGUAGUUUUGUAGAGAGAGAGAGAGAGAGAGAGAGAGAGAGAGAGGUUUGGUUGGGUGAUGAUGCAUGACUACUGAAGACACCUACAUCCAUCUUUCUUUCUUUCCAUAUACCUCCCUCUUUCCUUGUAUUUCUCCAUACACACACACACUCUCUCUCUCUCUCUCUCUCUCCCUCUUUCCCCAACACAGACCACAAUUAGUCUCCCCCUUCACAUUUCUAUGCACAAACUCCUGGUCCAUGUAGAAAAAAGAUUGGUCAGUAAUAAAGAGAUGUAGAGAGAGAGAGAGAGAGAGAGAGAGAGAGAGAGGGGUUGGACAUGGACUCCACCUUGGAGGGUAGGGAUUCUCUCUCUCUCUAUCUCUCUCUCUCUCUCUCUCUCUCUCUCUUUUUCUUUAUUCCUCACCAGUCACUCACCUCCCUCCUUUCUCUCUCUCCAGUCUCACCUAUUCCUUGGCUGUCUGCUUUAGAGAGAGAAAGAGACAGAUAGAUGUGUUUUUAGAGAGAGAGAGAGAGAGAGAGUGUGUGUGUGUGUGUUUGUGUGUAUAGGGGGGUUAUUUUGAAUGGCUGCUAUGGUCUUCUGAUGUUGCAGUUGUUGUUGCUGUUGUUGUUGUUGUUGCCUUGCAGCUUGCAAGGAGGCCCUUAUAAUAGUGGGAGAUGGUGGUGGGAGGGGUCUAUUUUUCCAUUCAUUAAUUGAUAGCUGAAUUUACCAAAAUGCCCCUCGCUUUUUUGUCCCCCAAUGGCUACUUCUUCUUUAUUAUUAUUAUUAUUAUUAUUAUUAUUAAUGCCCUACUUGCCUCAUUACUAGAUUAAAAUGCCUUUACCUUUCUUGCAAUGUAAAGAAGUUCCAGGGAAUGGACUUCUUCCACUCCUUCCCCUUGUUGACAUGGCAAAGUUUUAUGCCUUCCCUGCUGCAAGUCAUCUGGUUUCAUCUGUCACAUUUGUCAAACCUACUGUUCACCCCCCCCAAAAAACAACAAGCUUUAAAAAUAUGCAUUUAUUUUUUACUUUUUAAUAAUUUGUUUUUUUUUAAAAAAAAAACCCUCCUUUGAACAAGAAUUCCAUGCACAGCAAACCUAGGCAUGAAUUUUCUACAUACUUCAUGUGUGACCUCCUCUUUGUUUUUAUAUUUUUUUUUAACUUUAAAUUUCAAAUACACUGAUGAGAGACUGACAUGGUGGAUUGGAUUAGAUCUGGGCACUAAUUUCUACAACAAUGGUGGGGUUCUUCUUGCAUGUGUUUGAUCUAUUCCACAAUUCACAUUAGGCCUAGUAAGGAAUCUUGUGUGGUGAAAUUGUCUAUAUGGGUCCUUUUUAUUGGAAUGGACCACCAAAGAUGGGGAUAAUAGUUGUCAUCUAGUCAUGCUGUGACUGCCUAAGAAAAAAGAUGGGAAUGGGCCCAUGACACUGUUGGAAUUAUUAUUAUUGUCAUAAUUCAUCAAUUUACAUUAUUUGUUUUUUUUUAUUUCCCUAGUUUUCUAGAAACCUCUUGUGCAUAAUGGUAAUAAUAAUAACAUUCAAAAAUUACUAGUAGGUGUCUAUCUUAGGCUUCGUUUGAGAUUGCGGGACGGUGAGAAAGUAUGAUGAAAAAAUAUCCUACUUGUUUCCGUAUGUAAUAUUGCAUUCCGCAUAUCACAAUGAGUUAGUUACAAUAUAUUUUCUACAGUCUAAUCGAAGAACACAGAAGUAUAUCGCUAUAUGUUUUUAUCCCAAUUUCAUCAAAGCGCUCUUUGAAGAAGCACAUGGCUAUUCGAAUAAGCAUUUACAAUUUCUGGAUUAAAUUUUUUUUUCGACAUAUUUCAUUUAAGUAGGCAUUAGAGUUCGCUUUUGAGCUUGAUUAGAAACUUGAUUUAGCUUUUUAUCAAAGUAAAAAUUAUGAAUAUUUAUUAGCUAAUGUUAUUAAGAAAUCCAGGCAUAAAGUAGCCCUGGGGCACAAACCAGAGUUUGUUAUGUCAAGCCCAUCUUGGGCUAUAUUGUGCAAAUAUGGGUUUGGGCUAAUAUUGUUGGGCUCGAUCCAACCGAUUACCUAAAAGUCGGCACAGUAUUUCAUUCGUAAGAGAAGCCAACGCCGCAUAAUCCGGCGACGUAUUUCACUCGUAACAGAAUCCAGCGCCGAGUUUUACAUAACUCAAACAGUUAACCAAAGUCAGCGGCGAAUUUCACUCAUAGCAAAAUCCAACGCCGCUAUUUUAUAUUUACUCUCUUAACUCUCCCACAACCUCACCAUUCCCCCUUCCAUGGCGAUGGCGAUGGCGAUCGCGGCGAUCGUAUCCCGAAGCCGAGCUCUCCUCCCCCUUCUCCUUUCCCCUUCUCCUCUUCCUCCUCCUCUCAAUCUCCUCCACCUCCCCUUUUCCUCCUCUUCCUCUUCCUCUUCCUCUUCCUCCUCCUCCGCCCCUUCUCCCUCUUUCCCCUUCAAACCCACCAUCCCCACCUCCCCCGACCCCGAAACCAGCGACUUCGAGCGCGAGCCCGACGACGCCCCCUCCGACCCCGACGGCUCCGACCUCCCCGAGUUCCUCCAACUCCUAUCCCACGCCAAAUCCCUCUCCUCCUCGCACAAGGACGCGCUUGCCCUACUGCGGUCCUCGUCGGGCGUGGAGCGAUCUAGGGCUUUGGUCCGCCGCGCCCUGUGGGACCUGAGGUGGGAUUGGGAGUCGGCGAUGCUGGCUCUGCGGUGGGGGGAGGAGUGUGUGUUGGACUGCCCCGCGGCGUGGCACCUGGCGAUAUGGGCGAUGGGUAAGCAGGGGAGGUUCGACAUGGCGUGGUCCGUGGUGCGGAGGAUGCACAAGAGGUCCAUCCUUACGCAGCGGGCGAUGGUGAUCAUGAUGGAAAGGUGAAUGCUGUUCUAGUUUUUGAGCAUCGUAGUAAAUUGGGCAUUUAUCAAAGGAAUAAUCUUUCUUCUACUUGGAUAUGUUCUCACUUCAUUGUUAUGCUAAAUGCUUCAAUUAGUAUAUGAAAUAGUUCUAUGUGAUUCAUAGUUAUCAUGUGCGUGGUGGUGGGAGUUAUACUCAAAGCUGUGACUACUAAACUUUGAAACAAAACGGUAGAUCAUGAUAUAGUGAUUAUGAUGGACUAGUGAUUGCUUUACUAGGUUUCAGCAUGGUAGUAAAUUGGUUAUUUACAAAAAAGUAUUGCAUUUUUUAAAAAUUUUGGAUAUGUUCUGUCACCGUAGUUAUGGCUGCUUUCUUCAACUCGUAUAUGGAGUUCUCUCUUUGAUUCAUAGUUAACAUGUGAAAAGUGGGACUUUUGAAGUUAUAGUGUAUAUAUACAAGUCUACAUUACAACAAGAAAAAAAAAUGGUGUUAGGAAUCACUCUCGAAUGCUUAUGUUUCUCGGGACUACUUAAAUGUUGAAACAAAAGAAUUGAGAGCAUCUGAAGGUAUCUCUUCAUGGUCCAUUUCUGAUUGAAGUAGAGAGAUUAAACUUCUGCCUUGUUUUUAUUAGCACAGCUCAAAAUUAAGUAGUUCUCUAAAUAGGGUGCAAUUCUUUUCUGUGCCUUGCAAUAUCUGAAUUUUUCAUUAUCUGUAGGUUUGAAAAACUUUUUCUCGUUAAAUCGUCUUUUCAUCAGAAGCAGCUGCCAAAUUUGGCUUUAUAUGUAUCCCAUUUAGUGAUCUUUUCUACUUUCUUUUCCUCAUUGUUGCCAGAUAAACAGUUUUUUUCUGGGAAACUUUGAAUUUAUAUGCUUUUAUUCAUACGGAGGUAUCUCCUGCGAAAUUUCAGGUAUGCAGCUGCUAAUGAACCUGGAAAAGCAACAAAAACAUUCCAUGCAAUGGAGAAGUUUAAAAUAAGCGCUGACUUAACCGCAUUUUACUCCCUCCUUCGUGCUCUUUGCAAGAACAAGAAUGUUGAGGAGGCCGAAGAAUUGCUUCUUGUCAAUAAGAAAUUUUUCCCUCUCUCUGCAGAAAGUUUCAAUAUAAUACUCGACGGAUGGUGUAAUAUAAUGACAGAUAUAACUGAAGCAAAGAGAGUUUGGAGAGAGACGGCAAGUUGCUGCAUCACCCCAGAUGGUACUUCUUACACCCAUAUGAUUCGUUGCUUCUCAAAAGUUGGCAACCUCUUCGAUUCCUUAAGGCUUUAUGACGAAAUGAAAAAGAGAGGCUGGACUCCUGAUUUGACGGUCUACAAUUCUCUUGUUUAUGUGCUAACUGGAGAAAAUUGCUUGAAGGAUGCGCAAAAUAUAUUCAGUAAAAUUUUGGAUGAGGGACUGCGACCAACUGUAGAAACAUUCAAUUGUAUGAUAUAUCCACUGUGUGAAAGUCACAAGCUGGAGGAAGCGCAAAUGGUAAUGGAGGACAUGAUGGUGAAGGGCAUCAGUCCGGACAUCGAAACUUACCAUGCCUUCAUAAAGGAAGAGGGUAUUGACGAGACAUUGAAAAUAUUGAGAAGAAUGAGAGAUGCUCAUUGUGGCCCUAGUAAAUAUACAUUUCUUUUGCUUUUUGAUAAGUAUUUUGGAUUGAACGAAUCUGAAAAUGCAUUAAGAAUGUGGAGCGAAAUGAGGAAAUAUGGGAUUGAUCCCGACUCCUCACACUACAUUGCAUUGGUGGAAGGUUUGGUGAAACAUGGAUGGAUGCCGAAAGCUCUACAGUUUUACAAUGAGAUGAAGGACAGGGGGUUUAUUCCUGAUCCUAAACUUGAGAAAGUCUUUAAGGAAUUCAUAGAAAAUAAUAAAGAUCACUGGGGAAGAGUUGGUAAAGAUUACAUCAUUUCACAGCAUGGAAAACAUAAUGCUCUAAGAGGAGCAGCAGUUUAAUGACCGGUCGGGUAGAUUAGUUUUCUUAUGAGCACUUCUUGUGAUUGGUCUAUUUGGGGGCAUCAUAUAAAAGAGAGGAUGAAACGAAAAACUGUUGGUUUAGAGGGGAAAUGUCAAGUUGCCGUGAAUCAGAAUGCAUCCUUGCUGCUAUCUGAAACAUUCCAGUGUGGAAAAAGAUUUCCACAGUAAUUCUAAGGUACAUAUGCAUACUUUCGGAUCAUCUUACUUGUAUUAAUGGGUUGUUUAAAGUAUGAUAAAAACUUAUAUAGGUUCUUUCCAUAUUUUUCACAUUUUGAACAUCAUGUUGAGUUUCCAUUUGUACAUUAUGUCACAGUCGUUUAUAAUCUGUUUUAAGGAUGCUUAAAAGCGGACAUGCUCUUUACAUUUGAAAUUUGAGAUAAUUUCAUUAUGUUUAUCUUUUCUUCCAAGCUAUCUUUCAUUACUGUGAUAUAUCAUUAGAUUCGUACCACUUAGGCGAAAAAGGAAUAAUCAAGUUAUUAUUGUUUCAAGUCUAGAUAGAGUAAGUUUCAUAUGGUUUGCAGGGUCUUAUUAGUCUUAAAUGUUCAUGUCUUAUAUAUUUGCCUGAUUGUUGUCUUGUAUAACUUGGUAACAGGAUCAGAUUAACCUUGACUUGAUUAGUAAAUUGAUACCAAAUCUCUCAUAUUGGGUGAUGCAUGUAUCUAGCAAUGUACUAGAACCAAAUAGCAAACUUUGUUGCCGUAAAUUUCACCUGCAUUGUUUUUCUUUUCUUGCUGAAUUAUCUUAUAUUAAUUCUUGAUUGGGAUUUUGGUUCUCUCUUUCAGUUCAAGAAAGUAGCAACUUUGAUUAAACCCAAUUUUCUCCCUGCAUAUUAUGACUUUUUUUUAAAAAAAUUCAUCAACAGGUUGAGUUGAUGAACAUAAUUGAUGAUGAUCUUUUGGCCUUCAUACAAAAUGCUCAUGGUGCUGAAUCACAUGGAGUUUUCUGUGGUUUUUCGAGGCUAUUGGGCAUUUUAAGGAACCAGAAACAAUGAGAUCUAUCACUUAAACUUGUACAGCUUUGCUGCUGAUCAAGAAACACAGGUAAAGGCUUUUAACGAAAUAAUGUUUAUGAUGUGAGUGCAGCACGAGGUAAAUCGUGUUAUUGUGGACAAGGUUUUAAAUACCCGUCGGUACGGACUGUAUCCACGUAUCGUACCGUGCCAACAAGAUACCUAUACGAUACAGAUUACGUGCCGAUGGCACAGCUCAAAAUUUUCUAUUCUUUAAAUUAGUGAGUGAUUUUCUCAAUAAAGUUCAAAAGAUGUGAUAAAAAGACAUAAUAAAUUGUUAGAAUAUUUUGUUGCUAAAGAAAAUAAAUAUUUCAUGCUAUUAUGUGUCGGCACACAAAAUUUUUUUUGACCGGCACUCAUCGGCACGGUUCGACACGCACCGUGUCGUACCGUACCGACAAGUUUCCUGCAUGAUUCCGUACUACGGCAUUUAAAUUCUUGAUUGUGGACAUAAAAUUCUUCGUAUGAUCAUCAAGUUCUAAUUAUUUCACUAAUAAUGAGAUAAUCCCCUUUUGAAUAAUUGAAUUGAAUGAAUCUGAAAGUUUAGAUGAUUAUGUUGUGGGUCAACAACCUUUUUUAAGUUCUUUUUUCAUCCUUUGUUUAGAAAUGUGCUAUUUAUACACUCUUUUUGAAAUGCAAAUCAUACGUUCCAUCUUUUUAUAUACAAAUUUUUUCAGGACUCAAAUCAAUGUAACUAGUAAAAAAAUGUUACCAUUUUUACCUACUUUAACGAAUAUGAGUAGCAUUGCUUGUUUGCUUUUUUUUUUUUUUUUUUUAUAAUUACACGAGUUAUUCCUUCUCUGAAUUAGGUAAAAUUUAUGCCCAACUUUUUUUAUUAUAUUUUAUCUACGUAGAUAGAGAAAUGUAGAUCUAUGGACACCUCGUUUAUACUCAUUUCCAUCUACAAACACGUGGCACGCGUUAAAGUGGUCGACCACGUACGUGUUCCCAUCUCCAUGCACGCGCUCCUCUCCACGUGCCACCUCACCUCCCUUCACCAUUUCACUUUACAAACCAGUUUUUUUUGGCUAAAAAAAUAACAUAAAAAAGGAAACAGCACAGCAGCAGCUGCACUUAGAAAAGACCAGCAGUAGUGCCUGUAGUAGCAGCAGUAGAAGAAGAUCAUCAAAUAGAUACAGGAAAAGGCAAUACAUGCACGCUGAGAGAAUAUGAGUAAGGAGGAGUGGCGUCGUAACGCUGACACGCACAAGAUGAGCUCUGAGGAGGUGAAGGCGGCGGGGGUGGAGGCGUCGAAGCGGCCGCCCCACCCGGGCCAGAAGCCCGGGGAGGUGCUGCACCAGCGUCGGGCCCUGCCGUACAGUCCCGCUACGAUGGCGAUCGCUGGGUUUGCCAUCGUCGGCACCAUCGGGUACUUCACGCUCUACUACAAGUCGAAGCCCGGGACGUCGCCCACCGACGUCGUCAAGGUCACCACCACUCCUGAUUCGCUGCCCAGCAGCGCCGGCGCCGAUAAGGCGGAGACGGAGCGCAAGGGAAAGUAGGAGGUAGGUUGGGGGUUUUUUUUAAAAAAAAAGAAAUUAGAGGGAAAUAAUGGAGUUUCAUGCAUGGUUUUUGUCUAUGUAUAAUUACAAAUAAGAAUUAAUUAUGUUUCCAUUAUAAAUUCCACCCUCUUUAAGUUUUACACAAAACUUCGCUUUAGUUAAUUCUUAGUAUGUGAUGGUUGUGACGUUUGCUUAAAUAUUUAGGAAUUUGAUUUGGCUUAAUUUGCAUUUAUGUUAAGGGAUCUAUACCAUUUGGAGCAUUUAAAAAUUAAAUUUUAAAUUUUUUCGACAUUAUUAACCUAAUGAUCAAAGAAUUUUAAAAUUUAUAAUUUUAAUAAUCAAUAUGAGGCGUUUGACGGCAUAAAUAUAUUCAAAUCAAUUGAAUUUUAAUUAGAAAAUUUUUUAAAUUAUUUAAAAUAAGAUACAUACUCUUGAUCUUGAUUAUAAAAUUUUUAUCAUCACUUAUUAAAAGAUAUUUCUUGUCAGCCGUUCAUUUUUUUGUCCAUCAAUGGAUAAGAGAACAAUAUUGAAAAAGCAUCAAAAUUGGUUUUUACAUUCUUCAAGUAGUAUAGAUCAUAUUCAACGGUGCGGAUCGUUGAUUUGGAGAUUUCAUCGUUGAAAAUAAAUAAGUGACAAUAAAAUCCGUCUGCUACUAAUAGUAUUCUAGCUCAUAUAUCUCUCUCUCUCUCUCUCUCUCUCUCUCUCUCUAUAUAUAUAUAUAUAUAUAUAUAUAUANCAAAAUUGGUUUUUACAUUCUUCAAGUAGUAUAGAUCAUAUUCAACGGUGCGGAUCGUUGAUUUGGAGAUUUCAUCGUUGAAAAUAAAUAAGUGACAAUAAAAUCCGUCUGCUACUAAUAGUAUUCUAGCUCAUAUAUCUCUCUCUCUCUCUCUCUCUCUCUCUCUCUCUAUAUAUAUAUAUAUAUAUAUAUAUAUAUAUAUAUAUAUAUAUAUAUAUAUCUAACUAGAUUAGAAUACUAUUAAUAGCAUCAAAUCAUUUGUGCUAUUAGGUUUUCGACUCUUGGAUGAAAUGAUAUUAGGAUGAUAGAUUCCUAAGAUUGAGUGAGUGGUUGGUUGAAUAAUAUGAUUUAACAGGUGAAAAUUAUCGAAGAAUAGAUCUAAUGAUAGAAAAUUCAAUAGUACCAACAACUUGGUACUAUCAAAAGUAUAGCAGUCGGACUCUCUCUCUCUCUCUCUCUCUCUCUCUCUCUCUCUCUCUAUAUAUAUAUAUAUAUAUAGUUUUGCUAGAAUAUUAUCGGUAGUAAACGAUUCGAUUUACUACCGAUUUGUUUUCGAUGAUAAAGCUUCUAAAUUGACAAUCGGCACCGUUAAACAUGAUCUAAACAAUUUAAAUUAUCUGAAAAUUAAAUUUCAUGUAUUUUCAAUAUUAUUCUAUUUUCCAUCAAGUGAACAGAAAAAUGAAUGACUGAAAAUAAAUAUUCUUCAAAAAGUGAUGAUAUAAUUUCUGUAUUUACGAUCUAGAGUCUAGAUCUUGUUUUAAAUAGUUUAAAUUUUUUUUAAAAAAAAUAUAGUUGAUUUGAACUCUUUUAUAUCGUUAAACGAGCAAACGUACCAUAUCGGUCAUUAAAAUUAUAAAUUUUAUGACCUUUUGAUCGUUUAGUUAGUGAUGUCAAAAAUCAUGAAAUUUAAUUUAUAAAUAAUAUAAAUGGUCUAGAUCACGUUUAUCGAUUUGGAAGCUCUAUCAUUAAAAGUAAAUCGAUAGUAAAUCGAGCCGUUUACUAUCGAUAGUAUUCCAGUAACGCGCGCGCUCUCUCUCUCUCUCUAUAUAUAUAUAUAGUUUCAGAGACUCUCUCUCUCUCUCUCUCCCCCACUCCUUCAUAUAUAUAUAUAUAUAUAUAUAUAUAUAUAUAUAUAUAUAUAUAUAUAUAUAUACUUUUAUAAGUAUCACCAUCACGGUGCUAUUAGGUUUUAAGCCAUUAGAUCUACUUUUUGAUUAUUAAUAGCCCUUGGAUUAAACACUAUUCCACCUACCACCACCUACUCACCUCGUCUCAUACCUCACAUCUCUUCAUCCAAAGGGCUAAAAACACACAAGUAUCACCCCUAUGAUACUUUUACAAGUAUUCUAGCCCCUCUCUCUCUCUCUCUCUCUCUCUCUCUCUCUCUAUAUAUAUAUAUAUAUAUAUAUAUAUAUAUAUAUAUAUAUAGUUCGGCUACUAUACUAUUAAUAGUAUUAAGCUUUUCAUACUAUCAAGUUAUCUAAUAGUAUUAUACCUAAUAGCAAAAAAUUUGGUAGUAUCAAGUGCUUAAUACUACUGACAGCAUUGUAGCACGACUAUAUACAUAUAAUUGAGUUCUUAUACUUUUAAAAGCAUCCGAGUCAUUGGGUUUGAUAAGUUUUCAGUCAUUGAAUGAAGAUUUGUAGGAUUAGCAUAAUAGUUUUUCCUAAGGAUUGAAUGGAUGGUCGGUGGAAUAGUAUAAUCUAAUGGUGAAAAAUUUAUAAGCACUGAUUGUUUUGUGCUUUUAAUAAUAGAAUCAUUUAACCCCAACAAUUUAUCGAUCAUACCUAGUAUCCAGUCAAAGUCUACCUAGGGAUGUAAAAUGGGUCAUCCGGCCCGGCCCGGCACGGCUACGGGCUUAGGCACAGUACUGUAGAAUUCGUGCCGGGCCAGCCCAACCCAACAUCAUGGGCCGUGCUGGGCCAUUACUACUAAGCCCGUCGGCUCGGCCUUGGGGGUCUUUGGGGAGUUGGUGAGCCCCAAGGCCGGGGGCGGGAGAGAAAAAAUUCUAGAAUGCAACGAGUAUAUUAGUGACGUGGCGUAACAAACCAAUCAAAUGUCUUCUUUUAGAGAUAUAUGUCCCAUCAUGAUUGUAAAAAAAUAUUUUUAUUGUACUUUUGAUUGAAAAGAAGGAAUGUGAUUGACUUGUUAUUGAUGACGUAGUGCAAGUGUGAUAGUGUAGAAUUCCUCGCGGGAGAGGGGGCUGUGCUGGGCCCGGGAACCAUGAAUGUGGCCUGGCAUUGCCCUGCCCAAAAAUUUGGGCCGGGCCAGGUCGACCCGUGGCCCAGUUUGGCCAGAAUGAAUGUGGGCCAUGCCGGUCCCACACGGCCCACAUUACGCCCCCCUAAGUCCACCUAUUUGCUCCACAUAGCUGGCCACCUUUUGCACAAUAAAAAAAUUUUAAAAAAAACCCUAACAACUUCAACCACCCCUUUACUCGGAAGACUCCUUGAGGUCCAAUCAAACACCAACUCUUAAUCUGUGCACCGCACCAUCAACGUACACAAACAGCUCAUCUUGUUAAUAUCAUGCUCUCCUUGAUCACCCUAGAGCACCCUCUACCAACAUGCACCCCAUGUGGAUGGUCUCAAAAACCAAAAACACAUAAUAACUUCAAGCAAACAAACAAACAAACAAAAUGUAAGAAGCCUAAAAAAACAAACACACAGAAUUAAGCCUCAUGAAAGGAGAGAGAUUACGCGGAGAUUACCGCAAACGACGAGUAUAAUAUUGUGCCUAAUGCCCUAGUCCUUUAUAAAAUGAUAGCUUGACCAUUUGUAGAGUGUGAACAACAUUAUUAGUUUAAUACAAAACACCUCCCCGUAAUCAAACUGCCCUUUUCAUUUCACUAGUUUAUAACUUUAUAUAGCUCCAUACGUAUCCCUUACCUUAGUUUUAAUACACUUAUUAUUAUUCUGUGACAGUGAAGAGAGAUCAAAUGACCUCACCAAUGUGGAGACUUGAACAUGAGAAGAGCACAAAUUGCUCCAAAGAUACAUAAAAUUGAAACAAAUAAUUGGACAAAGUCGCGAUUGCGAUUACGUAGAAAUGUUGGUUUCAAAUAGAAGUUAGUAAACAAAAAAAGAAGAGUGAGUUGUGUAUAAGAACAUUCCUCUUUAAGUUGAUAGCUUCAAAUAGAGAAUUAAAGCACACCCUUUUUAGCCCCAGGUAUAAGCUAACAAGCACAUUUAGUUAGAUUGGCAACUUAUUUGAGGCAUUGUGAUGAGAAAUUCCUUUUUGUCAAAACAAUACCUUGAUAUAAACUCAUUAUAGUGUAGAGAGGAAGAUUCUUUAUUAAUUUAUGAGUUGACAUAGAGCAUACAUAGCAAGCUACAUAAAAUAGUAUGGUUUACACAUCAACACCAACCAUUGACCCUGUUAAAUCACCAAUUGCAUUAGGUAUUCACAAUUGUUAGGAUAAAUAAAUAUUUCUAGAAUUCAAUGAUCUCUAGUUGUGUUAGAUAACCAUGAGAAGUAGAAGCAAACUAAUGGAUCACUAAAAUGAUGAUGUGGAUGAGAAAUUGUUCCUUUGUUGGUUAUAGCAAAUUGAUCUACCAUUUGAGAACACAAUGAGAACAAAAUUUCAACUCUAUAUAUAUACACACAAUAAAACAAGCAACAUCAACAAAAUGUUCACACUAAGAUUUAAGCAUGCAUUGUAGCAAAGAGUGGAUAAAACAGAGAUAAGAGAGAGAGAGAGAGUUACUGAUACUGCUCAUCAGUGGUUGGUUUCCUCCGCGCCCGGCUAUAGGUUUGCGCGCAGGGCGACGGCGAGAAAUCGAGGACCGGCGCGACCGGCAAGUCCAUCUCCCCCUUCAGGAUUUGCACUAUCUCCCCGCCGUCUGGUCUCAACUCCGGCAUCUUGUUCAAGCACAAGAGGGCCAAAUGUAUGCACAGGGUGGCUUGCUCCUUGUCAUACUCACCCUUCAGCUUCUCAUCCAUGAUCUCCAACACAUUGCCGUGCCGCGCCAAUUGGCGGCACCAGCUGAUGAGAUUCGCCUUCUCGAGCUUCAUCGGCGACGAGAGGACGUGAAGAGGCCUUCGCCCCGAUAGGAUCACGAGCACGAGAACUCCGAAGCUGUAUAUAUCGACCUUCUCCGUCAGAUGCGUGGAGGCGCCGUACUCGGGGGCGGCGUAGCAAACCGUCCCUCGCAUGCUCGUCGUGCUGCUCAGCUCCCUGCUGAACAAGUCGCCGCUGAAGAAGUCGAAGUCGCUCCCUGCGGAUUUGCUCCUCUUCUUGCUCUUCCAGCCCUUUCGAAAGCUUAUGUCGAAAUUCGACUCAAAACCGCAUCUUUUACCGUCGCUGCGGUGAUGGUUUUCUUCUCCGUUGGCGGCGGCGGCAGCGGCGGCGCGAUUCGUACUAAUCGAUCGGAACCAUUUCGAUCUCUUCCUGUUGCGUUCGCCAUUGUUGCUGAUCUCUGCAAAGUACUCCUCCUUCCACCACUCCCUCAUCUUCCGGUUGUUGUUCUUCUCCCCGCCGCAGCCGCCGUCGUCGACGGCGGCGGAAGCCAUUUUCUUCUGCUUCUUCCUCUCCGGCGGCGGGGCCUCCCCGGAUUCGAGCUUCUCCGCGCGGCGGCUCGAGCUCCCGAGCUCGAAGCGCUUCUCGGGGGAGCGGGAGCGGGAGCGGCGGCUGGGCCGCUCAUCGUCCCAGACGGGGUUCUGCGGCGCGGGGCCGGCGAUUUGGCUGCCGAUCCACUCGGCGACGCAGUCCCUGGAAUCCAACUCUCCGCUCUCCUCCUGCUUCCACCACCAAUCCUGGCCGCCCAAUUCUCUGCUGUGAUCGCCCAAAGGCGGGUCCUUUGGCGCAGGGCUCGCGCCGAAACCGGAAGACGAGGGCGGGUGGGUCGACGGGAACAGCUCCUGGCUGGGGCCGAGCUCCUGGCUGAGCAAAUCGGCAUGGGAAUGGGCAUAGGUCGUGUCGGUUCUAGCGGCAUGGCACCUCCUCCAAAUUCCAUGGUAGGUUCUGGCCUAGGCAUGGGAAUGGGCAUGGGAAUGGGAAUGGGCUUGGGCAUGGGGGGUUUUGAAGCGGGCGAGGCCGAAAUCGGCGAGCUUGGCGUGGAAGUCGGGGCCGAGGAGGACGUUGCUGGGCUUGAGGUCGCCGUGGACGACGGGGGGGUCGAGGUCGAGGUGGAGCACGGCGAGGGCGCGGGCGACGUCGAGGAUGACGGCGAAGCGGCGGGGCCAGUCGAGGUCGGGGUCGUCGCCGGGGCGGAAGAGGGCGUCUUGGAGGGAGCCGCGGGGCAUGAAGGGGAAGACGAGGAGGUGGGGGCGGCGCGGGGAGGAGGAGAGGGAGUGGCCGAGGAGGGGGAGGAGGAAGGGCGAAGGGGGCAGGGAGGAGAGGAGCCGGAGCUCGGCGUGGGGCGGGGCCGAGAAAGGGAAGAGCUUGACGGCGAGCGGGGAGCGCUCGUCGUCGUCGUCGUCGAAAGAGGAGUGUUUGGGGGGGAGGGCGAGGAAGACGGAGGCGGAGGCGCCGCGGCCGAGGGAGCGGGAGGGGUGGAAGGAGGCGGUGGCGCGGCGGAGGCGCCGGAAGGAGAAGCGGCGGAGAUGCGGAGGCGGGGAGACCGGCAGCGUUUGGAGUGGCCGGCGCCGGCGGAGCAGGAAGAAGAAGAAGAAGGGGACGGAGAGCAGCAGCAGCAGCAGNCAAAAAAAAAUCGGAGAAUAUUAGGACUAUGCACAUAUACGUGAGGAAAAAGAGAUUUAAGAGAGAGAGAGAGAGAGAGAGAGAGAAAUGAAAAGGUGGUGGGGGGUUUUAGUUAUAGUUCUAGUUCUACUUUUAGUUUUAGUUUCAAUUUCAGUGAGAAGGGGGUUUUUAGAGUCAGUAGUUUUGGAUUUUGUGCUGAUUUAGAUUUAGAUGUGGGGAGGAGUUAUUAUUUGGAUGAAGAAUUGAAGAUUAGAAAGAGAUUAGGGGAUCUCAUCUCACGAUAAAGAGAGAUUCUAUUAUGUAUCAAUCACAUUAUAUAAUCUAUUAAUAACUGAUUAUAUUUUCUUUUGAAAAAAAAUAUAAUAAAAUAAUUUUUUAAUAAUUAUGUUGGAAUGGAUGAAUUUAAAAAAAAAUAAUAUGAUUAGUCGAUAACGUUAUAUCAGGAAUUAACUGACGUAUUUUAUUUUAUUUUAUUUUUUACGGUGAGAUGGGAAUCAUUAGAAUGCGUUUCUUUUCUCACUCAAAUCUUAACGACGGACUAGAUAAGCAUAGACCGGUGAUGAUUCUGUCUAUACAUUUGUGAGUCGAACACGAGCGCUAAAUUCCAAGUUAUUAUUCAGAUGGAGAGUUUAAGUUGAGCCGAACACAAGCAAAUUAAGUUUAAGAAGCGCAACUCAUUUAUUCAAACAACCCGGUCAAACGAUCCAUACCAAAUUAAAAAAGAAAAGCUGCUUUUGAAUAUGGCUUCAUACUUUGUUUACUUUUCUUUUCCCUUCUCUUUUUUUUUUUUUUUUUUUUUUUUUUUUUUUUUUUUUUUUUUGUCUUUUUGUGGUUUUGGGAUGUGAGCGUAGAGAAUGGGAAAGGGUAUAUUCACCGUGUUUGGUACGGAGCCAUUUGUAUCUGGGUAAUAGGAAAAAUAGCCAACACGAUCUUCAAUAAAGCAAAAGUUAAAAAAAAAAAAAAAGGGAGCAAGGGAGACCCACUCACUAGCCUUUGCCUCUGCCUUUUUGGUUCUUGGUCAUCAUGAUUCAAAGGGACAAAACUCUGUUGUGGGGAUUGAAGGCAAAGUGCCAUGCUCAUGACCUUUUCCCUUUUUUUAUUUACUAAUUCAUUGAUUUGUUAAUUCUUCUUUUAUGAGUAAUGAUUCACUGUAAUAAUCUUUUCUUAUGGCACUGUUUAAUAUUUUCCAUUAAGAUCAUUUGGGCCAAUUUAAACUUAAUUUAGUGUUUUAUGGUGAUAGGUAAUUAGUAAUUAUUUAUAUUUAGAGGUGAUAUGGCUAAUAAUCUCGUAGCUGAUUUAGCUACCUCAACAUUACUGUUAUUCACCGACCGUGAUCGUCCCUAGUGCAAAUGGAAAUUCUAGUUGAUUUAUAUUAUUAGCUAAGUUUAUUUUUUUAAAAAAAUAAACAAAGCGAAUAGCAUACUAACUAUCUCUCGCAAAAAACAUUACUAUUAUUCAAUUUACAUCAUAUCUUAAUUCGACCAGAAUAAUUAGUAGUUCCCCAGUACAACUGUACUUCUAUUACAAUAAUGAUAAAUAAAAUUUGAUAAAUGUCUCGAAUGUAGAAACUUCAAAAUUUUUAAUUUAUUUUGUCAAAGAAUAUACAGUUAUUACUUAUUACCUGAGAUACUAAACCAGACACAAUAAAGGUAAGAUCAAAGAUAACAUCUAAGUAUAUUUCUUCUUCUUUUUUUUUUUGAGAGAUAGAUAGCACGCUAUCCGCUUCGUUUAUUUUAUUUAGAAAUAAACUUAGCUAGAAAUGUGAAUAAAUUAGGAUUCGAACUUGGAUCUCGAGUGCCAACCACCGAGCCUGAGCCCCUUUUAGAUAAAGAUCCUAAAGAUGGGGCCUCAAAAAUCUGUCUAAUUAAGCUCAGAAGAAGAUCCUGCUGCAUUGAUACCACUGUAAUCCAAGCCACUGCAUGCUCAAAUUAUGAAGCUGACUUUUGUCAGAAGAGAUUAUUUCAACAUUAGCUCAACUUUUCAUCAGGUGCUGCGCGCUUACUUUUCAUUGUUUUGUAAACAAAAUGCGAAUUUGUUUUUCUCAUUAGUCAUGACCAAACAAGAAAGCUCGAAAAGAGCCGCCACCAGUUUGAGAGUGAAAAAUACUAUUUGUACAUUCAAAAAUGGGUGGUUAAUCUUAUAUCCAUCCAUUCAAAAAUUUAAAUAUUAUUUUAAAUUUUUAAUGUUAAAAAAAAUUUAAUAAGACUAGUAUAAGAAUAUUAAUAUUUGGAUAAAUAAAAUAUAUAAUUUGCACAUAUUUUUUAGAUGUAUAAUAGCAUUGCUCAUUUGUCAGCCUGCAUAUAUAUAUAUAUAUAUAGAGAGAGAGAGAGAGAUGAACUGGAAUGUNCUAAUUCAUUGAUUUGUUAAUUCUUCUUUUAUGAGUAAUGAUUCACUGUAAUAAUCUUUUCUUAUGGUACUGUUUAAUAUUUUCAAUUAAGAUCAUUUGGGCCGAUUUAAACUUAAUUUAGUGUUUUAUGGUGAUAGGUAAUAAGUAAUUAUUUAUAUUUAGAGGUGAUAUGUCUAAUAAUCUCGUAGCUGAGUUAGCUACCUCAACAUUACUCCCUAGCGCAAAUAGAAAUUCUAGUUGAUUUAUAUUAUUAGCUAAGUUUAUUUUUUUAAAAAAAUAAACAAAACAAAUAACAUACUAACUAUCUCUCGCAAAAAACAUUACUAUUAUUCAAUUUACAUCGUAUCUUAAUUCGACCAGAAUAAUUAGUAGUUCCCCAGUACAACUUGUACUUCUAUUACAAUAAUGAUAAAUAAAUUUUGAUAAAUGUCUCGAAUGUAGAAACUUUAAAAUUUUUAAUUUAUUUUGUCAAAGAAUAUACAGUUAUUACUUAUUACCUGAGAUACUAAACCAGACACAAUAAAGGUAAGAUCAAAGAUAACAUCUAAGUAUAAUUUUUUUUUUUUUUUUGAGAGAGAUAGAUAGCAUGCUACCCGCUUUUGUUUAUUUCAUUUAGAAAUAAACUUAGCUAAAAAUGUGAAUCAACUAGGAUUCGAACUUGGGUCUCGAGUACCAACCACCGAGCCUGAGCCCUUUUUAGAUAAAGAUCCUAAAGAUGGGGCCUCAAAAAUCUGUCUAAUUAAGCUCAGAAGAAGAUCCUGCUGCAUUGAUACCACUGUAAUCCAAGCCACUGCAUGCUCAAAUUAUGAAGCUGACUUUUGUCAGAAGAGAUUAUUUCAACAUUAGCUCAACUUUUCAUCAGGUGCCGCGCGCUUACUUUUCAUUGUUUUGUAAACAAAAUGCGAAUUUGUUUUUCUCAUUAGUCAUGACCAAACAAGAAAGCUCGAAAAGAACCGCCACCAGUUUGAGAGCAAAAAAUACUAUUUGUACAUUCAAAAAUGGGUGGUUAAUCUUAUAUCCAUCCAUUCAAAAAUUUAAAUAUUAUUUUAAAUUUUUAAUGUAAAAAAAAAUUAAUAAGACUAGUAUAAGAAUAUUAAUAUUUGGAUAAAUAAAAUAUAUAAUUUGCACAUAUUUUUUAGAUGUAUAAUAGCAUUGCUCGUUUGUCAGCCUGCAUAUCUAUACUACUUAUAAAAGCGAGAGUUUUGAAUUGUUUUCUCUUUUCAAAAAUGGCUCUAUCCUUUUUACUAAUAUUUUCAUGUCCAGUAAUUUUUAACCAAUCAUUUCAAAUAAUUUACUAAGUAAUAAUUUAUUCUCAAAUAAAGAUAUUAAUUUUUUGUCAUUAGAUCUUAUCUAAUGAUUGAAAAUAAAAGCAUCUGUUACUUUUUGUGACAAUAAUACUCUCGUAUUUAUAUCAUAUUUUCUAUCUACGCGUUUUUCAAAUAUUUUUCUUCUCACGCGUAAUAUCCGCACCCGCCAAUUCUUUCGCAACGUAAUAUUUGUGAAUUUAUCAAAUAUCUCAUUAAUCCACCUACCAUACACAUCCACCACCUGCAACGUAAUAUCCGUGAAUUUCUCAAAUAUCUCAUUAAUCCACAUACCAUACACAUCCACCACCUACAUAAUAUCCAGUUAACCUUUCUCAUACGUAAUAUGACCUAUCAUAAUUUUGAAUUAAACAUAUCAUCGCAUUUGAAUUUAAAUAUUAAAAUGAUUCAAAAUUUAAUUUUAAAUCAAAUAUGAAUUUUAUUGCGAAAAUAUCUUUAUCUUUUUAACUAAUUUUUUCAUGUCCAAAAAUUUUGAACCAUUCAUCUCAAAUAAUCCAUUAAAUUUUGACGCAUUUGAAUUUAAAUCUUAAAAUAUAUCGAAAUUAAAUUUUGAAUUUUGAAUUAGUAUUUACGGUUUAAGAUUUAGAUAAUUGUUUAAUUGGUAUAAUUUGACGUAAUUUGAACUUAUUUGAAUUAAUUUUAUUUAAUUUGGUUUAAAUAUAAUAAUUAACUAAGUAAUAAUUUAUUCUAAAAUAAAGAUAUUAAUUUUUUGCCAUUAGAUCUUAUCUAAUGAUUAAAAAUAAAAGUAUCUGUCACUUUUUGUGACAAUAAUACCUUCGCAUUUAUAUCAUAUUUUCUAUCUACGCGUUUCUCAAAUAUUUUCCUUCUCACACGUAAUAUCCGCACCCGCCAAUUCUUUCGCAACGUAAUAUCCGNGCAUUAGUAGAUGUUUUUUUAAGUUUUAGGAUAAAUGGGACACUUAUUCAAAAGUGUCCCAAACAUGUGUCCCUAUAAUCUAAUUCUGUUGUAGUGCUUAGGGGGCCCACAUCAUCCUAACCGCACAUCUUUUAAUCCAAGUGCGAAAAACUUAAUAGCACCAAGUCAUUGGUGCUAUAUAUAUAUAUAUAUAUAUAUAUAUAUAUAUAUAUAUAUAUAUAUAUACUCUUCAAGACAAUAAAAAGAAGGGGUAUAUGAUGAGAAUGAAAAGCUUGUUUGUCUCUGAAAUCUUAUCCUCUCCAAAUAAGCAUGCAUGCGGAUGAUCAGCUCACUUGGACGCAUUCAAAGCAUUUAUAAUGUUGGACAUUACAAUAUGAAUGAAUUCUCUCAUCAUUAAAGAGGUUACUUAGUGCUAAAUUUUAUCUUUAAACAGUUUUAGUUAAAGCAGAAGUUAUCUACAUAUGGAGUUCUCUCUUCAGUUCUCCUCUCCGUAUGCCCGGUUUAUCGGUUGGUGCUCUCAACUCCUUAGUAGGAGUCUAGGAGAUUCUGAAUUCAAAUCUGUGUUUUAAAAACUAGGUCGGAGUGUGACCCAAUUCCUAGGCCGGAUUAGUUCGAACAAUAAAAUCGGAAAGCUUUAAAUCCCGUAUCGACCUAUUUGAACAAAUGGUUCGACUGCGAAAGGGAGUCCCACUAUCUAAUUCACUUUCAAAUUUUUUUUUUUUUUUUUUUGUUUGAGUUACCUGCUUCAUUUAUUUUAUUUAGAAAUAAAUUUAGCUAGAAAUGUGAAUCAACUAUAAUUUAAACCUGAAAUCUUAGGUACCAAUCACUAAGCCUUUUGCCACUUGCGCUAGGAACAAUCGGUAAUUCACUUUCGAACUUAAAAUGCUAAAAUGGCCACUACUCUCUUACCAAGUGGGGCAUUUGCGAGACAUCAAAAGCAAGUUUGUCGAUUAGUGUAUGGUCUCAUGAGUUCUCACCUCUAGUUAAAAAGAACCGGAUAAAGUUGUUCUAAACUGGAAAAAAAACCCAAAAAACUAAUGAGCACAUACCAGGCCAAAGAGAAGGACCGACGAGUUUAGUUUCGUCAUUGGAUUAAGGCCUUGUUUGGCCCAGCGGUGUGUGCGGCCUGCUGCUGAUCUUUAUGCGAGAAACCCCGAAUCAGAGCUUUCUCAGUAACAUGGUGUUUUGCAGUUGAGCGCCGCAAAACUGCGGCCAAAUGAAAAUGUUAAGCAACUUAAGUUUCUACACAUCGCAAAUUACCACGCAAUGAAAUUCUAUUAAAGAUAAAAUAAGAGUACGAAAUUUCAAUAAAUGUAUUACAGCAGUACUUCUAGUUAACGCGGAAAGGAUGACAUAGAAAAUUAAGAAAAGGAGAACGAGAAUGGUGUAUACGAAUGAACCCUAAUUUCUAAACCAGCAGGAGGCAUCCUUAAAGAUCAUCAAAAGAUAAAAGAACUGAUGAAUGAAAAUAAAGCUGCGAAUUACUUUUAACGAACCUCAAGAAAAGGAAUUAACCUCCCACACAGUAUAGAAUCGCACAGCUCGUAUCUCAAAAAUAAACCCAUAUGAUGGUGUGUUGUUUGCUUGAUCCAAACAAAUGAUGUCGCCGAACCACGCGCUUAAUCGAUCUUCACGGAAGAGUAAAUCAACCGAGUGAACCAGAAGCACGCAUAGAACCCGAUCGUGCCGGUAAGAACAAAGAAGGCAUAGGAGGCAAUGAGCAUGUAGCCAAAGUACAAAAUCCCGGACACUGGCUUUGUGAUCUCGAGCUUUGUGAAGAAGUAGAAGGUGGCGUAGAGGAAGAGGUAGAGAGCUGAGGAUCCUGAAGUCAAGUACGACCUCCACCACCACAGGUAGUCCUCGCUGCACAGCUGGAAGUAGCAGAGCACGAUGGUGAUCUCGGCACAGGUGACGAUAAGGAUAAUGAAGACCAGGAAGAGGAAUCCGAAGAUGUAGUAGAACUGCUGGAGCCAAAUGGAGGUGAGGAUGAAGAAGAGCUCGAUGAAAACAGCCCCGAAGGGAAGGAUCCCUCCAAUCAGUAUGGAAAAUAUUGGGUUCAUGUACCAAGCUUGUUCAGGGAUUUGCCUUGGAAUUUUGUUCGUUUUCACCAGGUCUUCAAUGGCAGGUUUCUGGAAGCCGAUAUAGCUUCCCACAAAUACGAGGGGGACGGAGAUCCCAAACCAGAGCAAAACAAGGGCGAACAUUGUAGUGAAGGGUACUGCUCCUGAGGACUUCUCCCCCCAGAUUAGGGCAUUUAAGACAAAAAAAAUGGCAGCGACAACCCCAGGGAAAGUGAAAGCUGUUCUAAGAGUGAUUUUUUUCCAUUCUGAGCCCUUAAACAUUUUAUAUAGCCGUGCAGAGGAGUAGCCAGCGAACAAACCCAUGAAAACCCAGAGAAGGAGCAUGGCAGUCAUUAGCCCUCCUCUGUUUGAGGGAGAGAGGAAGCCGAGGACGGCGAAUAUCAUAGUGACAAGGAGCAUACCGAAGAAUUGGACACCAGUGCCAACAUAUACGCAGAGUAGGUCAGAGUUAGACGGGGGGCGGAACACAUCACCGUGCACGAGCUUCCAUCCAGUUUCUUCUUGUGCUUCCUCUUGGGUUUCAAGCUGGUUGUACUUGGAGAUAUCUCGGUAUAGUGUGCGGAGCAUGAUCAUCGCCACCAUACCAGAUAGGAAGAGGACAAUCAUCAGAGAAUUGACGAUGGAGAACCAGUGGAUCUGAUCGUCGUUCAUUAGAAGGUAGGUAUCCCAGCGAGAUGCCCACUUGACAUCACUCUCCUGCAAGUAGAGAAAGAUAAAAGACCAUAUAUCAGUUUUAGUUCAUUAAGGAAUGAGCUCACUUGUGAAUAGGUAACAUUUAUUAGUUGCUGCUACCUGAAAGUCGAUAUCGUAGGUAAAUAUAAUAUCCUUAUUAACUUCGACCUCCUGAGGAGAAUCAGAGUUCACAACAGAACGCUUUGAAUGAGGAUCGCAGGUGCUCAGGCGAGUCUUAUUACCAUUCCAUUGGCCUUCAAACUCAUGUUUAACACUGAAUCAAAGGAUAUUUUAUUAGAGAGAACAAAUGGCGGGAGAAACCCAAUGCAUAUAUUAAGCCUUGAAAAUCGAAUUGUACCUGAAUGGUUUAACCUCGAAGCCAACUAUUCUAGCAGAGUCCAUAUUUGUAUCCUUGUGAUACUUGACUAGAAAUGAUAAAUGGUUGUGGAUGAAGUAUUUCUCAUCCUUACUCUACAAAGAAAUGGUUUAUACACAAGAAAAUCACAAACCUCAACAUACUAAACUAGAUGAUUCUAGCAGAUACAUACUAAACUAGAUGAUUCUAGCAGAUACAUAUAUUUUUUUGUAAAAAAUAGAUUUACUUACUCCAGAAUAUUGUCCUUUGACACCAACGUGAAAGCCAUGCUGAUAAACAACAGCUGAAUCCUGAUCCAGUCUUUUGAUAGGAACAACUAGUGGGAGAUUGUCAAGAAUCCUGUAGAUGAAUUGAAUUAGAAAAUGACAAAUCUCAUUUAUGCUUUUUCUCCAAUUGCAAGUACGAAAAACAGAAGCCUUACAUGUUUAUGCGGUACUCGUCCUCUAUCUUUUCCUUAAAAUCCUUUGCUUCCUUCUCACCGGGAGUAAUCUUGCAGACAAUCUGGCACAUCUUAGGCUCUCUCAUCUCAAACUGCGAACGGGAAAAUCAAUAGUUAAAGAACAACUGAGAUAUCAGAAUAUUAAAGAGAAAACAGAUUCGCACUACAUCAAUGUGGUGAAACUAACCACAUAUGGAGAGUUCUCUAUUCGGUCCCCACGAAGAACUUCGCCGAGGUUUUCUGCACUCUCCACUACAGUAUCUGGUCGGCAGUAAGGGAGAGAAUAGUAGGAGUAUGGGAGCUGUGUCUUUAUAGAACUUAGCUUGUUGACCUUCACCGGAAGCGGAUCUUUCUGCAGACAUCAUUAUUGUACUACAAUUAAAGCAUGGCAGAAAACCAAAAUGCUUUUCUGAUAGUAAACCAUAUCAUCACUAGAAAUGAAAACAAACUUUAAGGAGAUUCCAAUGAAAAGAUUCUCGUAAAGAUCAGUAUUUAACAUCCAAUAUUUUAUAUGCACUACAUCACUUAAGAGAGGUUCUCAAAACGUAGACAUAAAUUGGAGCAGAGUAAUGUGUGAAAUAACUAAAAGUUGAAUAUACUAUCAGCACUAAUCUCUCAUGCGCACAUGCAUAAAAAACAAGAACUUCAUACACCAUCAAUUGAUAGAGAGAGAGAGAGAGAGAGAGAUACAGAAAGUCUAUGGUAUCUUGUGGCGGAAAAAUCUUUUCUACUAGUAUAAAUGUAGGUCCAAUAGAUACAAUGGGUAAAUAAGAUUGUUAAAUAUAUCUUAGAAUCUUGGACUCUAUCAACUCCAUGCAGCAUCCUAAAUAAUUUGGAGAGAACGGGAAAUUCGUUAAGUCAAUGGAGGAGUCCGGGCUUUGACUUGGCUACGGAGCUAAUCAAAUACUUUUGAAUUUUCAGAUCUGGCUUAAAUUCUUUUCUUAUUUCAGGCGGCCAUUAUACUUCAUAUAAUAUUGUGUAAAAUUACCUCUAAGUAACUAGCACAAUCUCUGCUCCGGCUUGUUCAAAUUUUAAGCAUCUGAUUAAUAUGAUGCAUUGGUACAAGAACAACCUCCACAGAGUAAUAUUAUGUGUCAAACCACAAGGAUCCAGCUUUCUCCAUGCACAAAAUCUCGCCUUUAUCGACAUAAAUAACAAAACACGUAAUAAAAAGUACGAAUAGGCUAUUAAAAAGAGCUGUGCAUGAUACUGCAGCAUAAAAGCAAAAUUUGCAAGCUUAAAAACUUUUUACACAAUUCACACAGAUCCAGAUCUAACCGAGAACGACCUUUCCGAUUCAAAUCGCACUACAUCUAAAAUAAAAUAUAUUAUCUAAAUCUAACAAUCGAUAUAAUACGAAAUCCACCUCGCGAGAGCUCCGGAUCUAAAUACCACACUAAAUUCGCACAACAUGAUACCAGAUCUAAGGUCAGGGGCGGAGAUCGAGAGGAGAUCCGACGCUGACCUGCUGGAAAUCGGCGGGGGCGACGCCGGGGAGGUAGAAGCAGCGGGCGGGGGCGGCGAGGAGCAGGAUCACCGCUGCGAUCCAUGCGAGGAGCGCCGGCGACCGCGAGAUCUCCAUUGAUGGAGAGAGGGGAGAGGAGGGGGUGCGUAGGGUCUUAGGGUUAGGGUUAGGGUUUCGACGGAGAAGACGAAGAAGAAGAAGAAGCAGGUGUCGGGAGCUGAGACCUCUUCUCCUCUCUCUCUCUCUCUCUCUCUCUCUCUCUCUCUCCACUUCUCAGAAUCGCACUGCGAAAUGGUGUAUUUUUAUUAAGAGUAUUUCGAGGGGCGAAUCGGUGAACGCGAGGGAUUAAAAAAAUGUCGGUUUAUUUAAUUUUGCAAUUUGAUCCUCACAACUUUUUUUUGUGCAAGUUGAUCCUCAAUUUUUUGACCGCAAAUAACUUAUUCAAUACAAAGGCCAAUCUUUUUACUGAAAUGUAUUUUUUUAAAAAAAAACAAUCUCAAAACAUUAUUCGUCUCCUAAUUAUAUCUUCAAACUUUUCGAAACAAACUGAAUUUAAUGAAAUUGUCUUAGCUAGAUUUUUCAAGAAAGGCUAAAAAUAGGAUUAUAUUCAGAAAAGUAAUUCUAGUAUUAGAAAAGUCAAAUUAUGGUAACAUUAGGAGCAUUAGCACUAUCAUGCAUGUUACAUCAUUUUGGGGGUAAAAUAUGGUUGCUAUGUCAACAGCAAAGAGGACAACAUGGUUUGUAAUUAGGUGUAUGUUAACAUUUGGCCCAAAUUGAGCUCACCCUAUUGGGUGAAAAUGGGGCAAUGCCCAUGUGACAAGUAGUUAGGUAUGAGGUACAAUUUGUUUUUUAUUAUUGUUCACUAUUAAGUAUACAUGUUAUAGGGCACUACCCAAUUAAUAAUAAAGUAGAUAUAUUCUUUCGAAAGUAAAUGCUUUUGACUUUUGAUGUUAGGCCAUGGUUAGCAUGGAAUAAAGAUGAGAUUUAUUCUCGGAAUUUGGGCUACCAAAUUUUGAAAAAAAAAAAAAAAAAUACCUCGUGUGUAAAAAAUUUCUGUGCAUCAUAUUCCAAGUCUCAAUUGUUGGUUUCGAUUACAGAGAGGAUCUGGCAUUUAGGAUAAAUAGAUCAUCAAUUCACAGAAAUUUUUUGCGUACUAGGUCUGCGGAGGAUCUGUACCCCAAAAUUUGUUGAGUGAGUAAUCCUUCUCCAGCACCUGUUCUACAUAUAAAAUACAUUAGUUAUAUUUGCCAUGCAGAGAAAGUGAGGAAAAAGUAGGGGAAUUACAAACUUCACAAUACAUUGGUCCUUUUUGUUAGCCUCAGUGAUAAUGUAGAAAUCAUACAAUGUAUAGUACAGAGAAAUCUAUACACAGCAUUUAAACAACCACCAAGCUCCACAACUCAAAUCUCAGUUCUCUCUGCUAAAUUAUGACCGAUGAUUAUGAUGCUCUAAUCCAUGUUUGCUGUCUUGAUCCCAAGAUUCCACUAGGACUAUACAGAAGAGCUAAUACAACAACAUUAACCUGCCAAUAAUAGUACGUAAAUAAAUACGACACUACUGUUAAAAUUCUGUUUAAUCUUCAAGUAUUCUGGACCGCAACUGGCGGGGAAUUUUCACCGAAAUGAGGUUUCUUUAUGCCGUCAGGGUUAGUUCGAAUGCUUAGAAGAGUCUGAGCAGAUUCCAGCGCCUUCUCGCCUCCGAGUUCUAUAGCCUUGUUGCCAUUUGAUUCUGCAUCUACAUGUGGCAGAGAGUCCUUUGGAGGUUCACAAUCCGAUGCGGCGUUUGGUGCGUUAGGUUGUUCGCCUUUUGCAGUAAUGGAGGGACGUGGACUUCCUUUAGAAUCGUUGCAGCUAAAAGCUGGUUGUUCGUGGUUGUGUUUACCUUCGUAAGUUAUGACAAUGGAUUUCGCAUCAUCUGAUGCUCUCUCAACGUGCUUACGAACAGGACAGCCGUCAUGUGUGCACCGAUAGUAGCUCCUGGAAAUACAACACUGAAGUAUUAGAGUAGAAUGGAACAGAAACAGCAUUACUUUGGUAAAUAAUAAGUAAACAAAAAUUUGAUAGCAUAGAUCUACUAAAUGUUGCAUGUUUAAGGACCAAAUUUUUUAAAUUGAAAUCAAGCUUCACACCUAAAUUUAUAAUUAACCCCAUUUUAUAUCUUAGUCCAUCUCAAAACAUGAUUGAUAUCCAAAUUGGAUGUAAAGUUAGCACACUAUGAUCGUUGAUAUAUCCAAAUUGGAUGUAAAGUUAGCACACUAUGAUCGUUGAUAUAUCCAAAUUGGAUGCAAAGUUAGCAGUACAUGACAGCUCUUUAACUUCAUCUGCUGGAUUCAAAACAUCGUUUAUACUAAGCAUGUGCAAUGGUACUACAAACAUAGUAGCAACUCAUAGCCUUUCAACUUCAGCAGGUCCUUUGAAAACAGAUUAAAGUAAGCUAUUACAGCAACAUAUGGCUUGCAGGUCGAAAACCAUAUCAUCAAAAUUAGAAAUAAAGUUGUCAAGUAGUACGUACUCUUGCAAUAGGUUUUUCCUACUUAAUAUAAUAUUUAAAUGGCAUAAAGUCUAUUUGAAGACAUUUGACUCCAAUCAACUCUCACUAGACUCCAAAUAGCUAAUACAAGGCACUCAGUCUCAAAAACUUGUAAAGAAGAAAAUGACACAAAAUAAUCUGUUGAAAACUUAAAAUUAGAAAGAAUACCAGAUGAAGAUAAAAACUUUUAAGAACAUAGGAGUCUCUCCUACUAUGUUACACACCUGUGCUAUCAACUUUGUACAAUACACUGGUCGAGUUUUUGCUCAUUCACCCAUUUGCUAUUAUCUUUCAAUUGUGAAGAAUACAUAUCAGUUGCUUUGAAUAGAUAGAAGGGCGAGGUCUAACCACCAGGGUGAUGUCUAACCACAUAUUAUUUGUCUACACUCCUAUUUCGAUGCAUAAGAACUUUUAAUCUCCCCAUCUAAACAAAAAUUCAACUUUCAAUGAAUCCCUUGAUCUUCCCAGUUGUAAAGGGCUGAAUCUUUCCGUUUCCUUCAUAUCCCAUGGAAAAGAGAGCUAAACUGAAAAUUUAGUUCCCUUUUUGUCUUUCUAUUAUUUGACUAGGCUCCUAAAAGCAUUCAACAUCAGUUUCAUACCCUGCAAUAAAUAACUACUAAUGCUUCAGGGAAUUCGUAAUGAGUUAUUCUACAGCAAACUACUCACUCUUAAAGGAAGGCCUAGAUGAAUGAUGGCGAGGCGAUGCUGUGAAUCACAUGGCAUACUGUUUGGUUAUUUACAUAAACUAUAAACAUCAGAGAUGCCAGAAAAUAAUUCCCGUUCGUAAUUAUAUAGUUUCAGGUGUUUGUUCUACUUUGAAAUAUAUUCUUAGAGAUAACAGUACACAGACAUGGCAUAUCAGCUACUUCUUUAAUACAAGGAUGACCAAUUAUCUUCCACAGUAAACCACAUAAUGCUGCACAGCUGACAAAGUGAACUAAUUGUAACACACUUCUGAUCUAAUUACUAAGAUUAUGUUUGACACGAGUAUAAUCAGGUUUGGAAUCAUGUGUUGUCAUAUAAAUGUGUUGAAAGAUGCAGAACUGGCAUGCCUCCACAUGAGUGCAAGUUCAUGGUUCAUGCUGAGAAUAAGAAAAUAUCUCUACUCUGAUUGGAAAUAAAGUAGCUAAGUACUUCAUUUGCAGAUCAUGAGGAGCAUCAUGGCAAGAGCUCAGAGGAAAUGAGAAACACCACAAAUAAUGAAAGAACCUUUGAAAGCAAGAAAUGAUAAUUUAGCUUCUCCUGUUGAACCCAGUUUUGAGGACAUUAUUCUCAGUUUUAUUUUUCCACAAGGACGUAUGAUGCAUUUUAGUGAACCAUUCAGAUUGGUCAGUUAGUCGUCAAAGCUAGUAGGCUGAUUUUCUUAUUGCAACCUCUGAGGCUAAUUCAGAAUGAAAAUAAAAAUAGAAAACCAUGGAAGACAGCAAAAAAGCACCUUGGAUUUGGAUUUCCCUUCACAAUCUUCUGCCCGUACUUACGCCACCUGUAGCCAUCAGUUACAUGUCCAACAUCAUAUGCAGUCUGCACAAUAACUUUUGGCUCCCUCACUGCUUUUAGAGCUGGUGCUGGGUUAGUUGCAACGCUUUCAGUCAUCCUGAGAAUAAAGAACACCAAAAAGUUACUACAGCUUGUUAACUUCACCACACUGACAGGUUAGAAGUCUUAAUGAGGUCUACUUGCCUUCGUUUUGGCUCUGGUUCUUCACUCAGAUCUUCUUCAUUCUUACUCCCAGGAUCCCCUUCACAAUCACUCGAGCAGUAUAAUUGUUGCUCGGGAGUUUCACUCCCAACAUUCUGUUCAGUCUUGCAAGUUGUAGUCUCUGACUCAUUAGCUUCUUUGUUUGGAACUUGCAAAGUCUCAUUGUCUCCAGAAGGCCCGCUAGAUGGAGGCCCUCUCUCUUUUGGGUAUCUGGUUUUUUGAGGCGCUUCGUGGUUGUGUCCUCCUCUAUAUACUAUCUCAACAACACGACCGUCCGGGCACCGCUCAAUCUUCUUUUUAGCAGAACAACUAGUAGUCGUGCAUCUAUAAUAGCUUCGGGAAUUCUCACUGCUCUUCACUUGCUUCUGACCAUAUUUCCUCCAAUUGAAGCCAUCAGUAGUUGUGUUGCUCACAAGAGCAGGAGUAGAUUGUGGUUUCUGCUCAGACAAGGGUGGUUUCUCUGACUUCGGUGUGGAACUAUUUUCGUCAGUUAUUGACGGUGACCUUUGUUGCAGCUGGGCAGGGCUCACAGUAGGCAGAAUAGGAUGUGGUAAUGAACUUGGUUGGGAGUUCAAAGCCUGCAACUGCAGCUGAGCCUGAGCUGUAACACUCGCCAAGGCUGCUUGAUGGGUCAUUGCAAAUUGGCCCUAAUUUUGAAAUUAAAAAUGAAGAGGUGUGAACAUUUUAUAAAAGAAAAACAACUUUAAGAAAAUUCUUCAGAGCUCAGCACCAAAAAAGGGAGCACACAUAAGACGACAAAUCCCUCUUAAAUUGUCGUGUUGUCUCAACAUGUAUGGAGCAAAUCACGCAUAGGUGGGAUGAGUAAAGUAAAAAAUUAGAGUAGAGCUACUAUACUCUUAUGAGUAAAGAGCCCUUCGUACUCAUAAGUUGUUUUCGAUGAUGGAGCUUCUGAAUCGACGAUCUACUCCGUUAAAUAUGAUCUAGAAUAUUUGAAACUCUAAGAAAAAAUUUCGUAAUUUUUUGAAAUCAUAAUAAAGUCCAUCAAGCAGGCAAAAAAUGAAUAGUCAAAAUCGAACGACGUCCUAAAAAUAGACGAUCGGAUCCUUAAAUUUAAGAUCAGAGUUAUUGAUCUUUAUCUAGGUAGUGAAUAGAAUUUUCUAUAAAAAAUUCAACAUAUUCUAAUUCUUUUACACCGUUAAACUAGCAAGUAUCCCAUACCGGCCGUUAAAAAUUGUCAAUUUUAUGACCUUUUGAUCGUAAGGUAAAUAAUGUCGAAAAAUUAUAAAAUUUGAUUUCUAGAAGUUUUAAAUGCUCUAGAUAAUGUUUACGAUAUGGAUCGUCGAUUCGGAAGUACUAUCGUUGGAAACGACUUAUGAGUACGAAGGCAAUUGUACUCAAAAGAGUAUAGUAGCUGGACUCGUAAAAAUUACAUGUUUAUUUGGUUUUCUUGUGAUUCUUUGGGUUGUAGACUAGUAGAGGCAUAUACAUAGAUGGAGAAAGUUAUCAUCAGAUCACUAAUUGUGCUUUUCCAGACAACAUGAUUGGCAACUGCACCGCCUCUUGUUUGUAAUCCUCCUAUCAGUAUUUCCAACUACAGCUGCUCAUCACCUUCUUACCAAAAUUUAGCUGUUUUUCAAUCAGAAACUUAUUUUUAUGGCAAAAUUACUGUUUCCUGUUUACAUCAUCCUAGAAAUCAAAACUCCAAAUUUGAACUAUAGUUGCAAACAUCACACAAUUCAACCUAAACGGAUCACUGUACAACUAAACUCCAAGAGAAAGCUCAAAGGCCACUCCAGCCACUAAACAGAGAGGCUAUAAUUAUAUUUUUCCGCAUAAUCCGCAAACCCCCAAAAUUAGGCAUCAAAAUUUCCCAAAAGUCAAAGAGUCUAAGCUACAAACUAUAGAGAUAAAGAUGGGGCCACCGACCUUAAACCCCGAUGACUCGAUCAGCGCUGCGGGGGCCAAGAAGCACGGCACCGCCAUCACCGGCACGGUGAGGAUCGGCGGCGGCGCCGCCGCGUGGGGCCCGCUCCCCGCCUUCGGCGACGCCAUCGCCCCCGCGAGUAGCUGCGAGAACGUCCUCCCAUCUCCCAUCCCCACCCCCGCCGCCGCCGCCGCCGCCGCCGCCGCAGCUUCUCCCUUCACCUUGGGAGCGGAAUCGGAUGUCGGGGCCGGCGCGGCCUCCGCCUUCGCCACCGGCCACGCGGCGGGAGAGCUCGACUUCGCCGCCGCCGCCGCCUCCUCCGCCAUGGGAGCUACCCCUUUUUCUAGGGUUUCGAGCUUCGGAGCCACGAGGAGGGCGGGGGGGGUGGUUUAGAACGGGGAAUCNGAAGGGAGUGAGAGAGAGAGAGAGAGAGAGAGAGAGAGAACGAAGGGCGGAAGAGGUUCGGUUUCUUUUUUAAUUUUUUAAUUUUUUUAUUUUUGACUGUAAUUGACUAGCAGGGGCGUUAGUUUUAACGGGGGAAGUUAACGGACGUUAAUGCUGACGAGGACCUGAGAACGGAGACGCCGUUACUACGGUUCUGACACUGACACGUGGGGACCACAAAGUUUGAGAGAGACACAGGCUGUUGCAUAGACCUCGGUCCAUACACCAUACUCCAAACUAUGAGCUAAAAGCAACACUUUGGUCCCCAAAUUCUAAAUUUAUUAUAAUUUUAAGUUCGAAAUUUUGAAUUAUUACGAUUAAAUUUCAUAAUCUAACUUGGUUGAGUAAAUAUUGAUGUGUCGCUAAUAUAAAAAUAAUGUAACAGUAUUGUAAUUAAGAAUGCGAUAAUAAUUAUUAUUUUUAUAUUUACCGAUAUAUUAAUAUUUAGUCAAUUAUAUUAAAUUGUGGGACUUGAUUGUGGUCAUUUACAAAGUUCAAAUAAAAAAUUAUAAUAAAUAAAAGUUUGAAAAUUAAAGUAUCACACAUCUUAUAGUUUGAGGACCAAAUGUAUAAUUCAGUCUAAAUCGUAAAUGUUAGAUAUUAUCUACUAUGUAAAUAAUAUGUGCGUUAAAAAUCAUAAUUAAAAAGAAAUCUUUUUGCUAGAUAUUAACUCUCGUUAAAAUAUUUAGGACAAUUUUUAUUGAAAAGAUUUUAGAUUUGGAAUAAAAACUUAAAUGAUUGACUUUUAAGCCCAUUCGCUUGGUUUUAGCUGAUCACAUUUCUACUUUUUUUCAAAGGUUUUAAAAAAUACCAUCAAUUUUAGUUUUUAUUCUACUUAUAAAUUAACCAGUCAAAGAGAAAAGCAGAAUACUCUCCGUUCUAUUUACUUUUUUUUAAAAAAUAUCUUAGCUAGAAAUAUGUAUCAAUUAGAUUUCGAAUUUAAAAUCUCAAAUGUACCAACAAUCAAAUCCGUGGCUAAAAAAUUGUCUAGUUUUGUGGAAGUGGGUGAAAACCUACUUUCAUCACUUUUUGUGUUUAUUUUGUUGUAAAUCGAAAAAAUAAUAUAACUCAAGUUAUAUUAGAUCUUCACUUUAUCUAUUAUUGACUUUUCUCUCUAGAGUGCUGAACCAAGUUUCCACCGGACUCAACAUUCUUUAAAAAAUUUAUUAAAUAUUGAAACCUAAACUCCACUUUAAUAAAAUGAGUUGGGGUUAAUAUUUUUUUUAACAAUAGAUUAGGAUUACUUUUUUUCUAAAAAAAAGAGAUUUAAUUAUUUAAUAGGUUGGAUUUUAUAUGAAUAAAUUUAUCACUAUAUUUCGAAGGUAACGAAAUCCACUUAUUUAUAUCAAAAUAAAUAAUGAAACUCGAAAAUUAAUUUUAUCAAUAUCAAGUUACACCAAAACGAAUAUAAAAAAAAAUAAUUGAAUUUAACUUUCAGACUAUAUAAAUUACAUCAAAACAAAGAAAAAAAAAAAUCUAUACUUCGGAGAAAAUUAAACACCAUUAUACUUGAGUUUCGUUGAAUUUAGACUUCGUUUGAAAUUACAGAGAGAUUACAUUACGUGCGGUGAGAAAAGACUAUGAAAAAAUAUCUUAUUUAUUUUCAUACGUAAUAUUGCGUUUCACGUAUCGCAAUUAGUCAGUUACGAUAUAUUUUAUACAGUAUCAUCAAAAAAUACAGAAGUAUAUCUUUAUAUAUUUUUUUCUUAACUUUAUUUUAGCUAACCGACCGUCCCUAGAACAAGUGGCAAAGGGCUUGGUGGUUGGUAUCCGAGACCCAAGUUCGAAUCCUAAUUGAUUCACAUUUUCAGCUAAAUUUAUUUCUAAAUGAAAUAAAACAAAGCGGGUAACGUGUUACGUAGAACUUAACCAAACUAAGCCUUAAGAGAUUCGUCGAUCCGAACGCUCCCUCACUGAGUUAGAUAUCUUCGGUAGAGCAAGAUGUGGGUCUACAGAUCACGGCCCAUACAAAAAGAGUUAGAUGACGGGAGAGGUGAUUUUACAAGUGCAUGAUGUGACGGCGAGUAAACGGCCGUUUGCGGUUCGGGGAAGGUUUGACCUCAUCAUGUGUAACGAGUUUGGCGUGAGCCUUUUGGAGGUCUCGGUUGUGGCCAUUUCUUUUGCUUGUUUGGGGAGUGGGGAAUUGGGGGAUUGUUGCGAUUUGGGAAAGUUGGUUGGACUCUUUCAAAUUAUCAAUAGCCCCUAAUAAGAGAGUAAUAAAUGAGACACACAAAUAAAUUUCAAUAUACUUUUCUCAAAUUUAAAAACUGAGAAGGAAAAACCACUUUAUGAGUGUAAAUUAUGGGUCUAGUUUGAAAUUGUAGCAUGUUUUCAAAAACUCCAACAAAAGGAGUAAAAAAAUUAAAGGCACUUUCGUAGCUUUGAAGUCUCAUGCAAUAUAAUAGCACAGAAACUGUGGUGCGGAUUCAGAAAUUUUAUUGAAACAUAUAUGCUGAUGUUUGAUCUCACAAAGAUAAGUGGUAGUGCCCAAAAAAAUAAAACGAAAAAGAAAAAGGAAAAGACAAAGUAACUACUAUAAUAAGGUUAAGGCUUUUGGUGACAAGACUAUAAAAAGAUAGAAGGGAAAACUCCAGAAAAAUCCCCUGUGGUUUUGCAGUUUCUCACUUCAGUAUCAUGUGAUUUAAAGUGGAUCAAUUUGCCUCCAUAUAGUUUUGUUUUUAUCUUUUCGGCAGUUUUUUUCUUAAUAUUUCGUUAAAUUAUAUAAAAAAAAACUUCAGAUACCCAUCUAGAUUUAUCGAAUAUUUACUUUAGCAUCCUUUAAUUUUAACUUUGUUACUGAUUUAAGAAAAAAAUAAUAAAAAAAUUGAUAAUAAAAAGAAAAAAACGAAACCACAAGGGGACAAAUUGAUACACUUUAAACUACAGAAAAUUAAAGUGAGAAAGUGCGAAACCACAGGGGGUUUUGAAGUUAUCCCAAGAUAGAAACAAGGAGGCAAGUACACAUUGAACAAUCUCAAGAGCAGGUCAAAAGCACAAGAACUCCAGGAAAAGAAAAAGUUCCUCUUUAACUUUCCUUCAAACACACUUAAAUUCAAGUUAGGAGGGAAAAAAAAAAAAAGGGGCCAUACCAGUCGAUUUCACUCGUCUGUCGACCGGUCCUAAUAUCGAAUGGUUUGAACUUAAGCUGUAAAAGAAAUGCGUGGAAACAACGAAACAAGCACAGGUGAAAACAACAAAGUUGUUUCUGCACAGGUGAAAACAACAAAGUUGUUUCUGCACAGGUGAAAACAACAAAGUUGCGAAACAAUCGGUACUCGAGUAGAAAACAUUCUUCAAAAGCUUGCUGGAUGAUGAUUCAAUUGAAAGCGCGUCAAACCGUCCUUAAAGAUAUCAUAGAAGCUUCUGCGAACUUCGCCCUUCGACAUGCCAUAUACAUUUCAUUUAUGGUUUUAGAGGCAAACAAAUAGUCUCAUCUAACACUUGCUUUUACCAAACCUGUAUCAAUAUCCAUUCAGCAUUAAACCAAGAGGUUUCUACUACAAAAUCUAAACAUAUCGAAAGUACCUUGAUAUAGAAGAGGAGAGAAAAAAAAAACAUAUUGUAUUCCUUUUAAAGAGAUAACCUGGAAUAUUAGCAGUACAAUAACAUAAAUAAAUCUUCAAAGAGAACAAAAAUCUUUUAUUGAACAACUUUAAAGCGAAGAAACUAUAAAAUAGAACAAAAUCUUCUUCCUAAGAAGAUUACGACAAAAAAAUUCUUUCUUCCCAAGAAGACUCGGUACAAUUCUUACCAAGGCAGCGGUCCAUAACAAAAUUGUGCCAAUGAUUGUUGCCUAGUUUGCUUCACAAACAACUUCUAGAAACAACAUUCAAUUAUCGACUAAAUAAUCUCCUCUCCCACAUGUCAUCGUAUGUUUACUAUGCCAAAGCUGUACAUGUAUACAAACAAAGAGUAAUGGUGUUUCACAAAUUUCCUCGCCUUUAACAUUCGCCACGAGAAAGGGCAUUAAAUGAUCAUGGUUUUGGAUAACUCUGCCGAUAAACAAUCUCAGGAGCUAUGAAGCUAUUUUAAACAUCAAUAAUGUACUUUUAUCCGGUUAGAGGUUCGAGUUGCACUUCCAUAAUUCCAGAAGAAUUAGACUCCGGUUUAGUAGUUGCACCCUCGGGAUGCAACAGAUCAACUGAAUCAUCUUCCUCGCUGUUUCCCAGCACCCAAGUGCCUCUGAAAGAGUUCCUCUCGCUUCUCCUCCUCUUGAUCUCCAUAUAUUCCAAAUACAAAACCAAAACUGCACCUAGCAAAACCCACAAGAUCAAGGCCCAAGUAACCUCUUUAACAUUCUCACCGCCGUAUCUAUGCCCUAACUGCUUCAUUCCACUAAAGAGUGCUACUACCCCGACGACAACAGAUGACCUUCCGAUUAUAACAUGCAAAUAUUCCCAAAGGAUCCUUCUUGAAGAUGCAACCUCUCCAUUAGCUGGCCUUUUGGGACGAAAAUAUGCAUUUAGCGGCUGUGCACAUGCCAAUGCAAUCGCGGUUACACCAAACUUAACAUGCAAUGAGCUAAGAUAAAAACCUCGGAGUUCAGCAGCUGCGAAUAGAACACCGAGUAGCAUAAUAGCUAUGCCCGAAUACUGCAAGUAGACAUGAAUCUGAAACCACCCAUCACCUUUCACAUGCUUUAGAUACCUCGCAGCCAAUAUUCCACCAGGAAGUAAAAGACCCCAAGAAACAAACAUCAUAAACCCAUGAACACCGAGAACAGGAUGCAAGUCCUGUUCGGCCUCAGCUGAACCUCUCAACAACAAAACCCUCACGGGCUUACUGCUCGUAACAGAGUGCAUGUUCAUGUUAUUCAAAUUGUCAUCUGACCAACGGGCCCCCAUGGCCCAAAUGACCUUUAAAGGAGUAGUCGGAUCGAUAAUAUUUCUACAUUCUAUCCUUCCGCUACAAGAAGGCGAUAGAGGGCGAGUAAACUCGAAGGUAAUUUUGCCAUUCUCCGAGCUACAUCUUACGUAGGUCAGAUUUUCAGAAGUCGAGUGCACAUUCAUCGCAUCCUUCCCAUCAAUCCAGUAGGAAUUGACACGGCCGGUACCAUUACUAUCUAUCCAACCCACAUAAGCAUAACUAUUUACCAUCCCGGUUCCAAAACCAAUGGCAAGAUAGCCGCUUUUUUUCUCACCUCGUGCGGCAAUUGAAAUCGAGCCAUCCGAUAGAGUCCAGAACAAGGAAACUUGCUGAUCAUCUAACACAACACUGUUAUUAUACAUAUCCGAGAUACCGCCGUCGACCACCUGAACCUUCCAACCCAUCUUCUGCUCGUACAAGGAGUGGUAAUAAACUUGAUCGGGCGUGUUACGGUCGGGCAACCACACUAACUCUGUUGGGCUAGCCGGCACACCUUCAGACUCCGGUCCACCCGCAUAGAUAACUUCAGUCGCAUUUCGAGACGUAGCAUUGCCGCCGAUAGGAUCGGAGGUAAUAUAAAGCGCCACAUCAUGCCCGGCUUGAAUUGAGAAUUUCACAGGCACGCCCCUCUCAACUCUCAGCAAAGGCGCUUCUUUCUUGUUUACGUAAAGAACCUUUGAAGGAUUCGGGGGGUUAGGGUACCGCAAGGCCGGGCCGGAGGUCACAACGAGAGGGGUCUUUCCGUCGGCACUGAUAAGAUCCUGAUCCUCCUUAUCCUCCGCAUCUAAUGGGCCAACGCAAUCCAUUACCGGCUCGGACAAAUUAAGGGUUCUGAAACCAAACGCCGUUUCUUGCGGCCCUCCGUGGUUUUGGGGAAGGUAGUACGGCCGGAGGGAAUCCGGCGGCAGCAUCCGUCCCAACGCCCAUAUCACCGUCAUGUUAUCGGUCUUGUUUAUCGGCACAUCAUACUUGUCAUCUACAGAGAUGAUGGGGCGCUCGUACCUGACGAACGAGACUCCGUCCCGGCGAUGGCCGUAGAUCAAUUUGGUGUUGUUCACCAACCCGACGGGAUCCGACCCUUCGUAGAUAGUGUCGGGGCACACGCCCUCAACCUUCCCGUCCUUAUUAAGGAGGCACUCGCUGUACUGGGUAAUGAAGUAGUCCUCGGCAAAGGGGAGACCUUCCUCGGUGAACCCCGUUACCGCGGCGUCGGCGUGGAUCAUGGAAGGGGAGGAGGAUCUGGGCGCCGCCCACCCGAAGGCCAUGUAGUAGUCGGAUCGGACGGCGGAUUCGAGGCCGAUCUCGACGGAAUUGGCAUCGGGGUAGAGGGUCCACCGGAGGCGGUAGGUCGGGGAGAGGGCGACGCAGUUGUCGAACAUGGUGGGCGCGCGGAUCCGGCGGGCGGUGCCGGUGGCGUUCGAGGACGGCGCCGGCGCCGGCGCCGGCGCGAGAUCCGUGUCGUUGGCGGGGGAGGGGAGGACGAUGUGGCCGAAGUCGGAGGCGGUGGCGGGGUCCCAGACGGCGAGGACGGCGAGGGCGUCGAGGGAGGCGCCGGGGAGGAGGGGGACGGUGAGGUUCUCGCCGCGGAAGGUGCGGUUGAGGGGGAGGUCGGAGACGGGGGCGCCGAGGGAGAGGUUGCGGAGGUCGGCGCCCGCGGCGCCCCACCACCGCACCGCGGCGGAGCCCGCGAGCAUGUCGAAGCCGCGCACGGAGAGGGAGCACCCGUCGACGACGCGGACGACGCCGCGGAGCUGGUGCUGCGCCAUGGCGAGCUCCGCCUCGAACCCCGCGAGGCUCGUGUUCCUACGGCACGAGGGAGGGGAGCGGAUCCGCCAUGGGAGGAGCCCGAUCGAGAUCUGGGCGCGACUCGAUCGGAUCUCGCGGACGAGGGUUAGGGUUAGGUUUAAGGUUCGUGUUUCCGAUAGAGAGGGUGGGUUUGUUACAUUAAAAAUAA